AGAGUUGAUGUGUUACUCAGACUCUGAUUGGUGUGGAGACAGAGUUGACAGAAGAAGUACUUCUUGAUACUUGUUUAAGUUUCUGGAAGUCCUAUUUCUUGGUGUUCCAAGAAGCAACGGAUUGUUGUUUUGUCAACCUGUGAAGCAGAAUAUAUUGCAGGUGUUAUGGCUAGAUGUCAAGCCUCUGAAGCUAAUGAUUGAUAACUAAUCUGCAAUCAAUCUUGCCAAAAAUCCAAUGGUGUAUGGGAGAAGCAAGCAUAUCGAAACUAAGUAUUAUUUUCUGAGAAGUUAGGUUCAAAAUGGAGUGCUAUAAGUUAUGCAUUGUAGCACCCAGAAAUAGUUGGCAGAUGUUCUGACAAAAACAAUCAAGACUUAUCAAUUUCUCCACUUAAGGAAUGGAAUUGAUGUUAUCAAUUUUGAUUAGUUAAAUCUUAAAUUAAGGGAUGAUGUUGAAUGAUAAUUCAUUAUUUUAGUAUUUCACAUACGUAACAUUAUUAUAUAUAUAUAUAUAUAUAUAUAUAUAGUAUUGUAACUGUCAACAGUUGUAUCCACUGAAUAUUGUAGUGCAAUAUAUGUCCAACCAUUUUAUUGUAACCGUUUUAGAGUAGAAGAAAUUUGUUAUUAUUUAUUAUUCACUCUUCUCUCUUCUUCCAUCUUCAUUUUUUUAUCUUGUGUACCAACAAUUACCAAAUUAAAAAAUUGAAAUAAACAUAUUGUGAGACAAACCUAGCAAGCCAUUUGAUUGACAUGAUAAAUCAAAAAUACCAACGCAAUGUGUUUGACUUUUAGAACAUACAUUAGAUUAGACCAUCGUAAAGAACAAAAUGUGUUUGGCUAUUUUUGGUUAAAUAUUAUUAUAACAUUGUUGAGAAUGAAUAGCUUAACUAAUAUAAACCAGCCAAUACCGCGAGCUAAUUACACGAGAUUGGCAUUACAAGGAAAGUUAUUAAACAUAUGUAUAAAAUAAAAUACCAACACCGAUGUUCUUAAUUUUGCAGGAAGAGAAAGAAGUGAAAACAAAAAACUCAAUGGUACAGUCUUCUCACUUUUGACUGCCAGCUUCAGUAGGCUCGACCACUUCAGCUUCUACAGUUUCUAGAACAUGGGGUUGAGUUUGAGUCGACUCAAACUGACUUGGAGGAGAUGACCAUUUACCAUUAAGAGCCAUACCCAUCAUCUCGUAUAUCUUUCCUCCAAGCUGUGCUGGAUUAUCAGGCUGCACACCAACAUAACAUAUUGAGAGUCAUAUGAUCCAAUAUUAGCACAGACAGUUAAAUUUUUAGGCAUGAUUAUAUUAGAUUCUUCUAUUUUUUCAUAUUAUUAACAAUAUCAUUCAUAUCUAUUUUUACAAUGGAACUUAAAUCUCUUUCAUUGCAGUGAUAUUAACAAAGUGCUUACCGUAAACCCACUGGAAACCAAAGCUGCAUCGUACAGAAGAUCAAUAGCUCUGAGGGCCUCUUGAUCAUCCGGAUUAGUUUUACAAGCAGCCUGAAAUUUACCGAUUAAAUUACAUCACCAUUAUUUUAAUUUGCACUUGAUUAUAUCAUUAGACUUAGGACACAUAACAAAAUAGAUUCAUACAUCCAAGUUCUUGAUAAUAGGAUGUUCAGGGUUGAUCUCAAACACCCUUCUGCUUCUCAUGAAUUCCAAGCUAGUGGCAUCACCCAUUGUUUGUGACUUCAUUAGCCUGGAGCAGCAAGUUUGAUUUACAUUCAGCACAGUGCUACUUACAUUUUUAAAAACAUUAUAAUGAAAUGUGUAUGAUAAAGUAAGACCCACCUUUCCAUAUUUGCAGACCAACCAAAUUUUCCUGACACCAGAACACAAGGCGAAGAGCUCAAUCGGUUUGAAAUCUGCACACUUGCAACUUUAUCUCCCAAACGUUUCUUAAUCCAAUCAAUUGUCCCACUAUAUUCCUGCUUAAUCUCUUUUUCCUUUUCCUCAUUUUUGUCACCUGCAGAAACAGAGACAGCAAACUACAUUUAGCAGGUUUAAAUGGUUAAGAACCAAACCAUUAAUCCAUGCCACUGUAAGGGAUACCGGCAAAUAUUUGAUCUAUGAAACACAUAAGCUUCUCAAAGUUGAGUGAUUGUCCAAUAUAGAAUUUAAUCCAAAAUAAAUCACGAGAAGGAAACAUAAUUGAAAAAGAAGUAAACCUAGAUCCAAGUCUUCCUUGCUAAUAUCAACAAAAUUCUUUUCCUUGUAUGAUUUAAUAUUUUGGAUGGCAACCUCGUCUAUCGGAUCCACCAAAAACAGCACCUGCAAGAUUAAAUUAAAUAACAAAAAGCACCAAUAUGAAAAAAAUAAUAAUAAUAAACAAUAGUUGAUCAAAUUUUACAAACUAUAACAAAAACAAAUUUAUACUUCAAGAUCCUUCUCAGCAAGUUUCUCCAAGAAAGGUGUGUUCUUUGCACUAUUCACACUGUCAGCAGCAAUGUAAUAAAUAUCUUUUUGAUCAGGUUUCAUGUUCUCAACAUAUUCAUCCAAGCUGAUAAACUCUUCCUCACUUUGAGAUGAGAAAAACCGAAGCAACGGAGCAAUGCGUUUGUGAUUCUCUCGGUCUUCAAUGCAACCCAAUUUCAAGUGUUUGCCAAAGUUAUCCCAGAACUUCUCAUAGUCCUGCACACAGAACAAGUCAGCUGGUAAAAUAUUAACAGGAAACAAGCAAGCAUUUCUAUAAAUAGUUUUAUAAACAGAAAAAUAAAAGAACUGAGAAAAAUGAAACAAAAAAACUUUCUAACCACAAACUUUCAGAAUUAGAUCAUACCUCUCUGUUAUCACUCAUGGAUAUCCCCAAAAUCAUAUCAAAAGCCUUUCUGACCAAUCGCUUCCUCAUAAUCCGCACCUUCAAGAAGCACAUAGAAACAAAAAAUUUCAGCAGUGUAAAACUAGUAAAGUUUUAUAUAUUUAUAAUCAAAGAAAAACUUGUGGACAUGUUAAGUGCGUGUCUGGACCCUAUCUACUUACUACGCGGCUCUCUUGAAGAAUUUCACGUGACACAUUGAGCGGAAGGUCAUUUGAGUCGACCACACCUUUGACAAAACUCAAGUAUCUUGGGAACUGUUCAAGUAAGUAAUACAUCAGAGCAUGAUAAAAUACUGAAAAAAACAAUCCAGUUACUCAAGACGUCAAGAUGCUUGUACAGGAAAGUGCCUAUACCAGUUCUCCAUCAAAGUCAUCUGAAAUAAAUACUCUCUUCACAUAAAGUCUUAUAUUCUUGGUCUUGGGAUUGAUUACGUCAUCCUUCCCUGAUGGAGCAUAGGGAGGAACAUAAAGUAUAGACCUAAAUUCUACCUCGCCCUGCAUAUCAUCACCAGAAUAUUAGCUGUCAGCUUAGUAUUGUGAUUAUCAUGCUUAACAAGAUUGCACUUGAGAAAAAAAACAUACCUCUGUGGUAAAGUGUGAUGAUGCCAACGGCUCCAGGUAUUCAUUAAAUGUUUUCUUGUAAAACUCGUUGUAGUCCUCUUUGGUGACUUCUUUAGGAUUACGAAGCUGCGCGGAUAGAAUAAUGUGUAAAUCUUCAUCUUAGGUAACCAACUUCCACUUUAAGCACAAAUCAUGCAGUUGGAAAUCAUAAAACUAACCCAGAUAGGUUGUGUCUCAUUUGUGAGCUCCCAGUCCCAAUACUUCUCAACAACAGUCUUAGUUUUCUUCUUCUUCUGUUAUAAAAAUGUGUCAGGUUAUAAAACGGCCAGCACAUAUAUAGCAGUUAUACAAUCAAAUUUUUGUAAUCAUAAUUUCAUAGAAAAUUGAUUCAGGGAAUGCACGGCAUGUGCAAAACAUUACCUCAGUCUUCUCAUCUUGGUUGUCUGUUUUCGCCUCAGCUGGAUCCUCAUCAACCUCUAUCUGUAAUGGACAAAUUAUGAUAAAAGCUCAAAAACCAAAUUCACGUUCAGUUUUCAAGAAAGGGUUGUGGAAUGAAACAAUCAGAAAAACGGACAGCGUCAAUAAAAUUAAAAGAUCUGGAGUACAUAGUCAUACUUCUUUGGUGAAUCCCUUUUCCUGCCAAGUGUAUAUUGGGAAUGAGACAAAUUGGGAGUAGUUUUUCACAAGCUUCUCAAUUCGCUCUGGAUGAGCAAAACCUUUGUCAUCCCUCUGAAAACCAGUGGGUAAAAUACAAAAACAACCAUAAGCUCCAGAAUAAAGAAACUAAAAUAUUAGCAGAAGCUCUAAAAUAGAAAAUUUUGACAUACCUUAAGAUGCAGGGUAAGGCGAGUUCCUCUUGGAAUCAGCUUCUCCUGGUCUGUCUCCUCAGAUAUGGUAUAUGAGCUAGCAUUUACCUCUCCUUCCCAAAUAUAUUGUUUAUCUGAUCUUGGACUCUUGGUUGAGACAACCACCUUCAAACCAUACAAAAAUAUACAUAUAUAAUCUGCCAAAUAAAAAUUUAAAAUGAAGUACCGUGUCAUCAUCACUUUUAUCCAAAUGCAUACCCGGUCAGCAACUAGAAAAGCAGAAUAAAAUCCCACACCAAAUUGACCGAUUAAGUUGUUGUCACCACCAGCACCCUUACUAUCCUUUUGAACGAAACACCUUUGUCAGCACACAGGAUACAUAGCAGCAAAAUAAAAUAAGGUCAAUAUAAUCCUAAAUCAUUCUUCAGAAGAGGUAAGACCUUGAGAGCCUUCAAAAACUUUGCAGUUCCACUUUGAGCAAUAGUUCCAAGACAGUCAACUAGUUCCUGCUUAGUCAUGCCAAUGCCUGUAUCACUGCAUAAAGCAAAAGUUACAGCACCAACUGCAUUGAAACAAAUGAAAAAAUUAAUUAAUUAAAAGUAAAUUGUCAUACGUGAUAGUGAUGAUCCCAUUAUCUUUAUCAGCUUGAAUUCGGAUAUCAAAAUCAAUUGCAUCCUUCAUCAGGUCAGGCUCUGUAACACUCAAAAACCGCAGCUUAUCCAAGGCAUCACUUGCAUUGCUGAGAAAAAAAUGCACAUAUUAACAAACUGAAUAAUGCAAUGCAGCACAUCAUCUAAUCAACACAGAAGACAUAGAUUGCUUGAAUUUUUCAACAAUAUUUAUAUAACAAAUUUUGAAGUGGAGCUUCGAUACAAGGGUUCUUUGAGGUGAAAAGGUUCAGCUUGAGGAAUUAGCUUCAUGACAGUUAGAGGUAAAACGACCUACAAACAAUAAAUGCAUAACAGGUCCAGCCCUUCCCAAGAUUCUUCCAUUAUAGGAUAUUUAUAAGACUAGAUUGCCCUGGUUUCUAGAAAUAGUUUUCUAGUAGAAAGAGAGAGAAGCUUAAGUAACUUUUUUCAAAAUGAAUACUGAAACUUGCUGCAAUCUAUUGGGGGGAGGGGGAAACCAGAACUAGUGUAUACCCUAAAAGGGCAAUUUAAGUUAGUAAUAUUAGGCGCAUAAUUGAGGAGAAAAACAUUCGUCAAUGCUUAAACUAUGUAAUUCUAUCCACCAGUGACGGAACGUACCUGAUAAGUUCCCUGAGAAACACUUCCUUGUUACUGUAUAAACUGUUAACAAUAAGGUCCAUGAGCCGACUAACCUGCCAAAGAUACACAGUAUCCAAAACAAUGUUCACGAUAUAUAUCAAGCGCGCUAGAGGUAACAAACCACAUACAUAAUAAAGACGACAGUACCUCUGCUUGGUACUCAAAUUUCUCAGCUGGUGGGGAACUUGAUGCACUAGAUUCUGCAACAGUUGAUUCAUAUCGUUUUCCCAAAAACAAAUCUGUUUUCAAGUUUAGCUGAUUAACACUGCCGGAUUUCUCAGAACCUAAUAAUGAAUACCAUCUGGAUUUUGUGUCAUUCUCUCCCACCUGCUCCCAAUCAGAAAACAUAAGAUAAGUGUAAACAAAAAAAUAAUUAUUGAAGCAACAAAUAUUAUCAAUGCUCCCACUUUUAAACUUCAAAAAGGUUAGUGCAAUCAUCUAACACGGAAAACCAACUAUGUAACUUCAAAAUCAUUCAUAACAAAACACAAAACAUGAGUUUCAAAAAACCAUUUCCAGUUGCAAUAAUAGUUCUAAUGCCCAUGCUACCACUUUUAAAUUCAAAAGUGUAAUCAUCUAACACAUAAAACCAACUAUGUAACUUCAAAAAGGAUGUAAGCAAACUUCAAUUUGUUAUAAUAGUAAUCAUUCCCGGACAUCUGAAACACAACACCGACCGAUAAUAAUUUGAAAAAAAUAAUAAAUUAAAUAUAAUCAAAGUGAAAGACACACGCUAGGUGUGGGUGCUACAAAGUUCAUAACAAAACACAAAAACGCGAGAUUCAAAUAAUCAUUUCCAGUUGCAAUGAAAAUUAAACUAAUGAUCUAACGAUAAUCAUCAUCAUAUAAUCAUUUCAAUGUUGCUGUCAAACUUAAUAAAAAUCAAACCACACAAAUAACAAUAAAACGAUAACGACUAGUUAGCGAAACUUCGGAUGUAGAAAUUGAGAUUGUUGUGUGCAACUAUAGAGGCGAGAAAGAUGAAUACCAAAUGAGAGUAAGAUGUGGAAAGUGGGAGAGCCGCGUCACGGCGAAGUGCGCCGCCGUAACGGAGUAGGGCGGAGACGGAGGAAGAGCGAUUGGAGAGUCUGUGCAUAGUGAAUUGAGCAGAGAGCGAAGAGAGAGUGUGAGAUUCGAAAAAUGCGUUGAGCAGAGAAAUGGUAGUAGGGUUUUAGCAGGGGUUUGUGUUACCACAAAAUGGGGUUUUCAGAAGCUUCUCGAUUCACCUUGUUUCCACAAGUCGCUUUUUUUUUAAGAAAAAAUUCACUUCUAUUUUUCUUAUGCAACCAUUUAAAAAAUUUUAAUAUAUUUAUUUUGUUUUUCAAAAAUUCUUAGUAAGUUGUUAAUGAUAUCUCUUUGUGAUUUGUUUUUUAAUUUGGUUUGUAUUUGAAUUGUAUUUAGUUUGGAUUUGUUUAUAUAAAAUAAAGCUUAGUUUUAGUUUAUAAUUAAAUUUUUUCAUUCUAACUGUUUUUGUAUUUGAGAGUAAAAGUUAGUUACAAUUUUUUCUCUUUCUUUCAUCAUCUUCUUUUUUUUCAUUCUAGUGUACCAACAAUUCAUUUUGAUUCAGGAGCGGAAAACAGGAGUAUACGUGAGGCGUAUGUGGUUGAUUUUAUUCAUUCAAUUCACAUUGAAUUGAAGGUCGAAAUCGAAACAGAAUCGCAUUUCUUGAUGUUGUGGAAUUGGGAAACACAAAUGUUGGUGAGAUCUGAGUGAAUUUGCACAAGAACGGAGAUGAACGGCGGAAACGGUUGCUUGAACACAAAGCUUCCAGUAUUUGAUGGAAAGAAUUGGAAUUUGUGGAUGAUUCAGAUUCAUGUGUUAUUUUGCGCUCAAGAUGUUCUUGAUCUCGUCAAUGACGAUUACACAGCGGUUGCAGCAGAUGCAACAGAAGCACAGAGAAAUGCGCAAAGAGAAACGAGGAAGAAGGAUCGUAAGGUGUUGUUUUAUGUCCAUCAUUGUGUGGAUAUGAAUGUGUUUGAGAAAGUCGUUUAUUCAACGACGGUGAUGGCUACGUGGAAUACACUUGUACGAUGCUAUGACGGUGAUGCAUCCGGGAAGAAUGUGAAGCUUCAGUCUCCAUGAAAGCAUUAUGAGAAUCUCAACAUGAAGAACAAUGAGUUGGUACCUGAUUACAUCUCCAGGGUGAUUUUAAUCACAAAUGAGAAGAAAUCUUAUGGAUAAACUCUCUCUGAACAAGUAAUCAUUAAAAAGGUACUGAGAUUACUUACUCCUCAGUUUGAUUACAUUGUUGUAGCAAUUGAACACUAUAUGGACCUCAGCACCAUGAAAACUGAAGAGUUGUAGAGUAGUCUAGAGGCACAAGAGUUGCGUCUGACUGAGAGAAACUCUGAAAGAGAAGUAUAGCAGGCUCUAAGAGCGUCUUCUAGUAAGAAGAAUCAAACGCAUUCUUGGUGAGAGGCUAAGAAGAGACAUAGUGGUGGUUAUCAGAAGUAAGAAGCCUUCAACUCUGAUGAGAAGAAACAUCAUAAAGGAAAGGAGAAGUUUGACAAGAAGAAGGUUUAAUGUUACUGUUGUAAGAGUUUGACUAUUUUGUUGUUGACAGUUGGUUAAACAGGAAAGGAAAUCAGAAGAAGGAAACAUAGCCAGAUGAGAUUCUAAUGAUGAACUUGUGUUAUUAAUGGCAUUUGAAAGUAAAGGUGAAAAUUUGGUAGAUUUGUGGUAUAUGGACAUUGGCUGCUCAAAUCAGCUAACUGGAAAUAAGAAAUGGCUGGUUGAUUUUGACUCUGAAAAAAGGACCAAGAUCAUAUGUGAUGAUGAUAAGUAUCUGAAUGCUGAAAUAAGGGGAAAUGCCAGAGUGACUCUGAAGAAUGGUAAAACUACAUUGAUUCAGGAUGUGUGGUUUGUUCCUGGCAUGAAGAGCAAUUUUCAGAUUCCAAACUCUAUGAGCUUGUUUCAAUCCAUACAAGGUUUUAUGUAACUUGUACACCAUCCAUUCCCGAUUCUUUUUCACAAAUCCAGGAGGUUAUGACACAUAAACUUUCUUUUGUAAAGGACCAUUCAAAAUGCAUAUUUUACAUCCAAAUGCAUUAGAGGCCAAUUUCUAUUAACAACUAUAGCAAUCACUAAUCUGAUUGUUUCAUGCCUAGCUACAGACGCAAACACCUCAAAGUAAUCUAAUUCAUAUUUCUAUAGAAAUAUUUUAUCUACUAACCUUGUUUUGUGUUUGCCAAUUGAUCCAUCUGGCUUCAAUUUCAACUUGUAAAUCCAUCUCCCGUAGAUGGCUUUCUUAUUCUUUAGAAGCUCAGUCAACUCUCAAGUCUUGUUUCUUUCUUUGCCUCAAUUUAUUCUUUCAUAGCCUUCAACUACACUUUCUUCUUGAGAGCUUCUUGAGUACUAACUGGUUAAGAGUUUACCAACAUGGCACACUGAUUGAGUUCCCCUUUAGAGUCUAUCUUAGUAUCUUGCAACAUAUCAAACUCUGAAAAUCUUCCCGAUAUUUAUCUUAUUCUUUGUGGCCUCUAAACUUGUUCAAAAUAUUUUUCAAAUGUUGGAAUAGUAUCAGAUGUUGAACUACCUUUAGAGGUUGGGCCACCUUCAGAAGCAUGGCCACCUUUAAAGGCAUGAUUACCACUAGAGUCUGGAUAAUCAUCAGAAUCUAUAUCAAAAUCAGAUUCACCUUUAGAGUCUUCUUCAGAGGCAAAAUCUCCUUAGGAAUCUUCUUCAAACUCAUCUUCAGAAGCAUAAUCUCCUUCAGAGUCUGAAAUAUCUUUAGAAGUUAACUCAGGUGUUAACACUGCACCAGAGUUGGAUUGAUACUUGUUCCAACCCCAUGCUUUUGUUUCCUUCAUAAUUACAUCUUUAUUGACUUCAACUUUUUUAGUGACAAUAUAGUAGAGUUUAUAAGCACAUGUAUUAUAGUACCCUACAAGAAACAUGACUUUGUUUCUGUUAUUCAACUUCCUUCUCUUAGCACAUGGGACAUGUUUAUAACAACCAGAACCAAACACCUUCAUAUGGCUCACACUUUGCUUGCUUCCAGUCCACUUAUGAAUAGGAACUACUCCCUUCAACGUCUUUGUGGGACACCUAUUGAUCACAUAUGUUGAAGUAGCAACAAUUUCACCCCAUAAUGUAUGAUGCAAAUUCUUCUCUUUCAGCAUGCUCCUAGUCAUAUCAAGUAAAGUUUUGUUUUUCUUUCAGCAAGACCAUUGUGUUGAGGAGUGUAUGGAGCAGUAACCUCAUGCUCUAUUUCAUUCUCCUCACAUUACUUCUAGAACUCUAUAUAGUUGUACUCACCUCCACUAUCAGUUCUGAGAAUCUUUAGAUUUUGUCCACUCUGAUUCUCAACCUUGACUCUGAACUUCUUGAAUUUAGCAAACACCUCGUGUUUGAACUUUAUGAGAGAUACUUGUGUCAUUCUUGUGAACUCAUCCACAAAUGACACAAAGUUCUUAUUCCCUCCAAGUGAAGGUACCAGAAAUGGUCCACAUACACCAUAAUGUACCACACCCAAAGCAUGCUUUACUCUUUGAGGCAUUUUUGAUGAAAAUGGAAAUCUUGGUUGUUUUCCUUUCAUGCAUACACUACCUGAUUUUUCUGGAUCCAUAAUUUUAGGAAUGCCAUGAACUCUAUUCUUUUAAUUCAUAUGCCCUGAGAUUCUAAAAUUUAGAUGCCCCAAUAUCUUGUGCCACAACCCACUUUCCUUUAGAACACUUGUUGCACUGAGGCAUUUAGAGACUACAAUUUUAACAUCCACCUUAAAUGUCUUAUUCCUUCCAUGUCUAAACUUGAUAAUCAGCUUCUGAUUACAAUCAUAUAAUUUCAAGAGAUUUCCAUUCAUGGUUACUGAAAAACCUUUUUCAAUUAGUUGAUCAACACUCAUCAUAGUGCUCUUCAUGCCAGGAACAUACCACACAUCUUGAAUUAGUGCAAUUUUACCAUUCUUCAUAGUCACUCUGACAUUUCUCAUUCCUUCAACAUUUAGAUACUUAUCAUCAGCACGUCUGAUCUUAGUCCUUUUUUCAGAGUCAAAAUCAAUGAGCCAUUUCUUAUUUCCAGUUAGGUGAUUUGACAAGGUGUCCAUAUACCACCAGUCUAUGAAAUUUUCACCUUCAUUUUCAAAUGCUAUUAAUAGAACAAGUUCAUCAUCAGGAAGGGAUGGUGUACAAGUUGCAUAAAUCCUUGUAUGGACUGAAACAAUCUCCUAGAACUUGGAAUCUAAAUUGAUUCAUUUUUAAGCUUCAAGGAUUUAGAAAGUGUGAGAUGGAGUAUGGUGCUUAUGUUCAGCAUAUAUCUGAUAGCAAUAUGAUUAUGGUGUGUCUAUAUAUUGAUGACAUAUUGCUAACAGGGAGUUGUUCAUAUGAGAUAAUCAAGUUCAAGAAGGUGUUGAUGAAUGAGUUUGAGAUGAUUGAUAUAGGAAAUAUGGUAUAUUUUCUAGGAAUGGAGAUUUUGUACUCUAAUAAGGGUAUAAUUUUACAUCAACUGAAGUAUGAACUUGAGGUUCUAAAAAGAUUUGAGCUAAUAAAUGACAAGUCUGCAAUCACACUUGCUGAAAUAAAUCAAAAGCUAGAUUCUGAUGUUGAGGCUAAUGAUAUAGAUGCUACAACUUUUAAACAGUUGGUGGGCUCAUUGAGAUAUCUCUGUAGCACCAGACCUGACAUCUACUAUGCAGUUGGAAUUGUGAGUGGGUGUAUGAACAAACCAAAGUGGUCACAUUACCAAGCUACUGUCAAAAUACUGAGGUAUAUUAAUGGAACUCUGAGGUAUGUAGUUUUAUUCUCUUCUGGUGUUAUAUCUAAUUCAGAGUUGAUAUGUUAUUCAGACUCUAAUUGGUGUGGAGACAAAGUUAACAGAAGAAGUACUUAUGAAUAUUUCUUCAAGUAUUUGAGAGGCCUCAUUUCUUGGUGCUCCAAGAAGCAACCAGUGGUAACACUAUCAACCUGUGAAGCUGAGUACAUUGCAUGUGCUUUGUCUGCGUGUCAAGUUGUUUAUAUUAUGAACUUAUCAUCUGAUUUGAAGAUUAAGGUGAGCAAGCAUGUGAUGUUGAUGAUUGACAAUAAAUCAACUAUAAUCUUUGCCAAGAAUCUAGUGUUGUAUGGAAGAAGUAAACACAUUGGCAGAAAGUUCCACUUUCUGCACAAUCAGGUUUAAAAUAUAGUACUUGAAGUUGUUCACUAUAGUACUCAUAAGUAACUUUUUGUUGUGCUGACUAGAGCUAUUAAUACUGAAUACUUUAUCCAUUUGAGGGAUGAAAUUGGUGUUGUUGGUUUUAAUUAGUUGAAUAUGAAUUAAGGGAUGAUCUUAGUUGUAAUUCAAAUUCAAUUUUAUUUGCUUUUAAAUUUGAUUUGCAUUUGAAUUGCAUUUAACUUGGCCUUGUAGCCUUGUGUACCUAAGUUAAAGCUUAGUUUCAGUUUGUAAUCGGAUUUUUUCAUUGUAACUAUUUUUGCAUUUAGAGUAAAAGUUAAUUACAUAUCUCUCCUUAUCUUAUGUAUAUUGAAAUUUAUCAAUUUCAAGAUGAUUAAUUUAUGUUUCAAUAUAUCAUGCAUGUCUUAUUUUCAAAAUUAUCUUAACUAAGUUUAAACCUUCAUGACAAAUUUUUGCUAUAGUUAUUUAUACAUAUAAAUUUGGUUAGAUCUUUUAUCUUAUCAUCUCUAUAAUUGAGAAUAUUUACUUGAAUCACAAGCUAUGAGAUUUGAUUUUAGAUAUCCUUCAAUUAUAUGUUUAAAAGCAUCUUUAUUUUUUGUCCAUCCUUAUUAAUGAGCUUAGUUCGAUAUGUUUUUCUAAACUUCGAGUUUUACGCAUAACAAAGGUCCUUAAAAUGUUAAAAGCUUAAUCGUAACUUUUGUCUAUUUUUCUUUUUUUUAGUUUUGAUGUUUCCAUUUUAAAAUUUGGGUUUUUAUUCUUAAAUUCUUUUUUAAAAAAAAUUUAGUACUCUUUCAAAUUUAAGAUCAAAUUUUAAUGACAUAUCAUUUGAAUUGAUGAUGCGUCAUUGUCGCUAUUACAACAAUUAAUUUCAAAUCAUUUUUAUUAAAUUUUAGUUAUAUAUCACUUUUUUUAAAAUUUGAAAAUUUAAUUAUUUAAAAUAAUAAGAACACAAUUCUGAUGCACCAUAUGUUUGAACCUCUAUCCUCAAAGAUAUAAAGGUCACCUUCUAGCCGCUCAGCUACAAAUGUUUAUUUGUUAUAAGUCGAAGAUUGAGUAUCAUAAGUCAUUGGGUUUGAUACAUUCAUUGCCUAUCCCCAAGUGGAAGUGGGACAACAUUUUGAUGGACUUUAUGCCUGGUUUUCCGAAGACAGUGAAGAAUUGUGAUACCAUUUGGGUUAUUGUGGAUAUGUUGACUAAGUUGGCUCACUUCCUUCCGAUUCGACUUAACUAUCUAUUGGAGAAACUAGCAGGGUUGUAUAUUGAGAAGAUUGUCAGUUUGCAUAGGAUUUCAUCCAAUAUUGUAUCUGAUAAAGAUCUAAGGUUUACAUCGAGGUUCUGGGAAAGUUUGCAGAAGACCUUGGGUACGAGGUUGUGUUUGAGUUCAGCUUACCUUCGCAGAUAGAUGGUCAGACAAAUGACUAUCUAAUCCCUAGAAGACUCGUUGAGGGCUUAUGUGCUAGAAUAAAGAGGUUCUUGGACUAUCCAAUCGAUGUUUGAGGCGUUGUAUGGUAGGAAGUGUAAGACACCUUUAUGUUUGUAUGAGUCGGGAUAAGGUGUUGUGAUUGGACCGAAGAUUGUCCAGUAGACCACAGAGAAGAUCAAAGUGAUCCAAGAGAAGGUGAGAGCUUCGUAAAUCGCCAAAAGAGCUAUCACGAUAAGCCAAGGAAUGCAUUUGAGUUCUGAGAGGGGGAUCACGUGUUUCUGAGAGUUACUCUGCUAAUUGGUGUUGGUUGAGCUUUGAAGUCUCGAAAGCUCACUUUGCAUUUCAUCGACACGUACCACAUUUUGUAGAGGAUAGGAUAAAUGAUCUAUUAUAUUGCUUUAUCAUUGUCGCUUUCUAAUCUUUAUAAUGUGUUUCAUGUGUCUCAGUUGAGGAGAUACAUUACAGAUUUGUCUCAUGUGAUCUAAGUUGAUGAUGUGCAAGUGAGAGCUAACCUGACUGUUGAGGCAUCACCCAUGCGGAUAGAGGAUCGGGAAGUAAAGCAGUUUUAUGGUAAAGAUAUUACCUUGAUGAAUGUAGCUUGGGGAGGACCAGCUGGUGGAAACAUGACUUGGGAUCUUGGGAGUCAGAUGAAGGAUUCGUAUCUGAAUCUGUUUACUUAAGGGAAUUUUCUAGGGCGGAAAUUCUUUAAGUGGGGGGAGAGUUGUAACACUCCAAUUUUGAUUUAAUUACUUUGGUUGAUUUAUUUGUGACUUUUACAUAAUUUGUUUAAUUAUUAUGUGUUUAAUUAAAUAAGUGGUGUGUUUAUAUGUAUGGUUUGGGGCGUGAAGGUAUUAGUGGGGUGUAGAGGAAGAGUUGGAAGUUGAUAGAAGUAAUUUAGAAUUAUUUUAAUGAUUAAAAUAAUAGCAAUUAUUUUAUUUAUUUAAUUAAAGGAGGAAAUAGAGAAAAUAGGUCAAAAGUGAAAAAUAAGAGAAAUAUGAGGGAAUAGGGAAUAAGAAAGGAUUUGAUGUGGGGAGGAAAAUAAAAAUAGUGAGAACUGGAUUAAUUAGAUUAAUAUAAGUUAGAGAGCUCUAAUUAUAAUCAGUACGUAGAAACUUUGAGAAGAGAGAAAGAGGAUAGAGACAAAAGGGAGGCUAGAAGUUGAAGGAAGAACACGUUCAAACCAGUUCAGAUUCAAAUUGCUUGCUAGGAAUUGAGGUAACGGGAAAAUGGAUUCAAUAAUAGGUAUAUACUUAAGGGGUAGAGUUGAGGAGUCCUUAACCUCCAAUAGGUUUAUAUGAUUAUGGAUGUUUUGUUGUGUGGGUAUGUGAAUCUUAAAUUUGGUAAUCAAUUGGUGUUAUAAUCAAUUUUUCAUGAUGAAAUUCGUGUACAGUAUAUGAGAUUUUCUGUUUUGAUUUGUUAAUGCGUUUUUGAUAACGCGACAAUAUAUCGUAUAUUUGACUUGACUUGCAUUUCAUUUUACUUAUUUUCCAUAGCAUUAUGUCGUACUUUGUGUUUAUUUCAGGUAUUUAUCGAAUAAGAAGUGUUUAUGCAAGCAAAGCGGGAAAAGAGCAAAAAGAAAAGAAAAAUGGAAGAAAAUGAAGAAAAUGGUAAUAGGUGGCGCCCACCACCACAUGGCAAGAGUGGCGCCCACCACCAAAUAAAAGAGGGUGGCGCCCACCACCAAGCAAGAGUGGCGCCCACCACCAAGCAAGGUGUGGCACCCACUACCUAGGGUUGUGCCACCCGCCACCAAACCACUUCCUCUUUAUUUUUCUCCACGCCCCGUUUUUCUCGGUCAACCAACCACGCCCACUACGAGAUCUUCAAGGCUUCUUUCAAGGCAAUGAGUAGGGAGUAUAUAUCAGGGUUUCGAUCUUGAAAGACCGGACCGUCUCUUUUAGGCAAAAAAAUUAUUGUUAGUAUUUUAAGCAGAUAUUUACUUGUAAAGUGAUAGAUUCUCCACAUCGGAGGACUAUUACGACUUUAAUUUUAGUAAUUAAAUUUGAUUGUAACGGUGUACCCGAUUUGCAAAGCGUGCCGGUAUUAUUUCAAUUCAAGAACCAACAUUAAUUCCAGUUUUUCGGUCUAUAUUCCAGGUUCUACUUUAAUUGAUAUUUUACUUGCUUAUGCUUUGUCUUAUGUUUAAUUAUCAUAAUAUUAUGUUUGUUCUCGGAUCCAUGUCUGGUUAAACCAAUUGAUAUCGGUAUGUAAAGACCGUCAAAAUGAUAAGAUUCAUUAAUAAUUAGUGUUGACUUUUAUAAAAUGUUUUUCUGGUUAUAGUUUCUUGUUCUAAAUUUAAAACUGUUUUCGUACGAGAGUACAAAGCAAACGAGGGUUACGGUCAAUAAAACGAGAGUUUAAGGUUUUAACCGGAUAGCUGAAACUAGACAUUAAUUCUGAAUACACCGAGAGCGCUUUAGGAUUAACUAGAAUUUAUUGAUUUCCAAAAAUUACUUUUAAUUCAAAUGAGACAGGGAGAACGAAGCAUUCUCGUUUAAGAGUAUAGUCAGUGUCAACAACACGAGAGUGUGAGAUAAAGUCUUCUAAAUAAAUAAUUUAGGCUAAAGAGAAUUUUGACGUUUAAGAUUACAUCAACUAUUCAUCGAAUCCCCGAAGUUUGAUUUGUUACAUACAUAUAUCCCGCUAUUAAAUAUUUUUAUUAAAAUUCAGUUUUCGUUAGUAGUUAUUUCUCAUUGUCCCUCAACCCCUAGAGAAAUCAUCAGCCCUAGAUUUACGUAGUAACAUUAGAUAACGGUAAGUUCGAUUAUUAGUCCUUUGGGUUCAAUAAUCUUUAAAACUACGCGAUACGACUGUGUGUCGCAUUACGCGAAAAACCGGCGGAAAAACGAAAUAACAGAGCCGCCACCGUGCGUUAUUUAUCCCAAAAGAGGGAAAGGAAACGCUCAAAGUAAACCUGGAAAGGACAUGGUCUCGCGACCAGAGAUCGAUAGGAUCGGGAGUCGGUUAUGCAAAGGGAAGGUAUUAGCACCCCUACGCAUUCGUCGUACUCGACGAGAUCCACGCUCAAAAAGAUUAGAAGAAAGGUUGCUAAAGAAACUGCUCAAACACUGCACACACACUGGAAGGAGACACAGAAAGACAAAAGAAACGGGACUCGACAGGAUAUCGCAUCCUGGGCCUACGUAGUCUGUCAGACACAGACAUCAGAGUCGACGUAGUUCGGGAACAGGGGAAACAUGCUCGCUAGGAUGUCGCAUCCUAUGCAUACGUAUCUUCUCUGACCGGAGAAGAAUCAGAGCACUCGUAGCUCGGCUAACGCACGCCAAACAAAACCCACACAGGAAACCGACUGCUGCAUCCUAUGCAUACGUAUCUUCUCUGACCGGAGAAGAAUCAGAGCACUCGUAGCUCGGCUAACGCACGCCAAACAAAACCCACACAGGAAACCGACUGCCAAUCGCUGGACUUACGUCAGACUCCAUACAAACAGGCAAACAUGGAAACCGAAUGCCAAUCGCCGGACUUACAUCAGACUCCGAACCAACAAACACACACAGGAAACCAACUGUCAAUCGUUGGACUUACGUCAGACUCCAACAAGCAAACAAGACACAGGAAACCGACUGCCAAUCGCUGGACUUACGUCAGACUCCAAACACACACAAAGGGGUUGCAAAAGAAAAAGGGCGCCCAGAGAGACCAGCUCAUCUCCUGCCUACGUACCUCAUCUGGUAUGAGGAUCAGGGCGACGUAGUUCCCCUACGCAGGGAAAGAACUUCUAUCUUAACCAGAGACUAGGAAAUGACGAACUAGAAGGGAGCCUGACUCGAGCCUAAUAGUCAUCAUGUAAUCCACAAUGGUCCUAGGUUGAGGUUUCUAUCCUAACUUGCACGGGAAGCAAGCUAUCCUAAACAGCACAAUCAAACAAACAAGCACAGUAAAGCAAUCACACACACUAUAUGCAAGCAAUUGGGCUCAUACAGGGCUAGGCUGCAGAAACAAGCCAACUGGAAUGGGGUGAUUUUAGCUCUUAACCCUAACAUUGAGAGUUAGGGUGAAGUAGAUGAAAUGGAGAUGAGUGGUGUGCCUCAUAGCUCUUAUCCCUGGCCUGGGAGAGCUUGACUCAAAAUAGAAAGUGUGGGAGUUCAGAAUGUAGGAACUCUUCUCCACAGAUGACUGACACUACAAGAGUUUGGGUUUUUAUUCCACCAAUGCAGCAACCACAGUAGUGAGCAAGAGGAAUGACACACUGAGUAGCAGGAGGAUUACACAUCCCUUUUAUCUGCCAAUUGCCUCCUAAGAGGUCUUUACCUGCUUGGCACAAAAUUAAACAUUCACAAACAUUGCCUCUUAAGGAGGGCUUCAGACAGGUGCCUACCAAUAACAAUAGGUCUUCCAGACUACAUGAAGUCAAGAGAUCAUACCUCAGUGGUAUGCAAACUACAAGCAAUGCCAAGCAAGUUCAAAUGAACUAAAAGCAACUUAGGUACCUUUGGAAACAUCUAAACCAAUCAGUUCAACUGUACAGACAAACAAUCAACAGUUAAUAACAAGCAGACAGACAAAGCUUCAUCAGACAACAAUGAGCAAGCCACAAGCACAAGUGAAUUGUUCUCAAAGCCUACAAAACACAGAAAGGUUAGCACAUGACAACAAUUGACCAAGCUUAAAUGAAGGAGCCACUCCAAUCAUGGAAAUGUACACUUGAACCUGAAAUUCACAACCCAAAUGGUAAGUCCAAACCACUAGGUCAAAGCCUAGUGCUUAAAUGAAGGAGCCACUCCAAUCAUGGAAAUGUACACUUGAACCUGAAAUUCACAACCCAAAUGGUAAGUCCAAACCACUAGGUCAAAGCCUAGGGUCAAAAGAGGAUCAAAAAGUCAAAACAGGGACUGAAAUUUAACACAAAGCAACUUCAAACACAUAUUGACAUAUCCUAAAAAGGCUCACAUUAAAAUCAUUAAUCAAAUGCAUUUCAUGAUCAAGUGAAGUCAAAGUCAAUUUCAAAGUUCAUAUGUAAUCAACAUGAAUGAAAAUUCUCAAUCAAAACAGAAAUGAUUCAAAUAAAUCUGGAAAAAUUCAUGAGCAAUCAAGACAUCAAUAACAUCCAUCACACAUAAAAUCAGAAGCAUUGGAGAUCAUUUGGCAUGGCAAUCACAUUGUACAAGUCAGACAACCAAAUGUGUGACACAAAUUGUCACACCAAGUUAGCACAAGCAUAAAACAGAAAUGGAGCUUGGGAAAAAUGUCAAACCAAAGCCAAAAUGUCCAUCAAUAUGUCUAGAAUCAACAUGCAAAAUUUCAGGUUCAUUGGAUAAGAAACAAGCAUUUUAUGACAAGAUAAGCAAGGAAAGGUGAAAUAUGCAUAUAUGUUCAAACAUCCUAGGGAAAAUUAAUUUUCCAGCAAUGCACAACUUUCAAAUUCAUGCUCAUAAAAAACUAGACAGAAUAAGGAGCAUUUUGCAAAAAAUUGGGAUGAAAUUGGAUCAAUUUUCAAUUUGAUAUGAUUUUUCUAAGUUUGGGAAAAAAAUGAAGUUCAAAUUACCUGGUUCCGUACUUUUACCCUCCCUUUUCCACUUUUAGUUGAAGCAUUUGAAAAAAUGCGCUCGCUCAGUAUCGAACCCUUGCCAGAUUCAAAUUUGCGCGCCCAACCUAAAACGACAUCGUCUCAACUAAAGCCCUAGCGCCGGUAACACGUUCCCAGAAUUUCGUAGCAAAUGUGAAGAUUUCGUGGCUAAUGGAAGAACAUUCGUAGCAAAACCAUAGCAAGCUCUGGAAAACGCAUGAUCUUCAUAGGUUGAAGAUGAAGAUUGCAUGAUGUUCAUAAGCAAAUUCCAGAAAAUCCAAAACGUUCCAGAAAUCAAAAAUAAUUACAUCAAUCUACUCCUCGUUUCAUGCACAUCAAAGAUCCAUAACCAAAUCAUGCAAAAACAUCAUAACAAGUUCAGAUCGAAGGAAAUAAGAUUUGACGUCAAACUUUCAAUCAAGCAUAACUUCAUGAAUAUUGCGCCAUUUCACUCAAAUUUUAUACCAGAAUGAUCACCAAUGAAAGAUCUACACAAAUAUCAUGAUGAAUUGCAAAAUAAGUGAACUCGAAACCUGACCUCUUUGAAGAACAAAAUCUGGAAUCGUGCUCUACAAAGCUCAGUAAUGCCUCAAAUCUUCUCUACAAUGCUUAUUGAUGUGAGUGAUGAUGAAUUGGAUGCUCCAGCAUGCACGAACUUAGCUCAAUUUGCAAUCUCCAUUGAAUCUUCAAGCUUCAAGUAUGAGCAAAAUAUGGCACGAAUCCUCUUAAAUCCACGUUCAAACUUGCUCAAGAAUGCUCCAUGAUCAUGAUUCCAUCAAUAGAAAAUGCUUUUGUGUGAAGAAUUGCAAAAUAUUUUUGAGAGAAAAAUUUGGAUGAUUUUUGAAUCUAGAUCUGAAAAUGGAUGUUCAUCGUGAAAGCAGUUAAGAUUAUCGAAUAUAUAGGGUACGAUUAGUAAGACUUUUGGUCAAAUUCGGUUUCGAUAUCAAGAUUAACAACUUAUAAGGUGUAUGAGAAAAUUGGUAUUUGCACCUCAUGCCUUUCAUGCAUGCGUGAACAGUGUACAAUACUGAUCCAAAAUCACUUAAACAAGGCCCAUGCAAGCUUUUGACUUGAUAUUUUAUGCAUAUGAUCAACCAAAAUGAUUUUAGAAAUUUUUCUUCCAAAAACUUCAUGAGUGAGCACAUGAUCAUGCAAAGGAAACUUAUGCCAUGUAAUGAGAUGUUUGGAAAGUACAUGUUAUGAUGAACAAAAUGCAAAAAGAACCACCCAAAUUGGAGCCUUGGUUCAAAAGUUAUGCCCAUUUGGAUUUUCAAGCACCCUUUGCCAUGAUUGGAUCAUAUCUCCUCAACCACACACUAGAAAUUCAUGAUCUUUGACUUUUUUGAAAUGGGAGAGAAAAACCUUCAACUUUCAUGUUGGACAAAAUUUCAUUUGAAGCUUUCUUGAUGAUGUAAAAUUAAGUUGAAGUUGGUUCAAAACCUUUCCAUUUUUGGAAAGUUCAAAUUAUGGGUCACUUGCUAUUUUGGGAAAUUCUUGACCUGACUUCAAAUUCUUCAAUGUGAGUGUUUGAGAUGUCAAAUGAGACUUUUUGGGAAAUUCUUGACCUGACUUCAAAUUCUUCAAUGUGAGUGUUUGAGAUGUCAAAUGAGACUUGUUUGAACAUGAAUGAAGCAUCUCUAAUCACUUCCCACCUCCAAAUCCACAGUUGACUUUGUAGUUGACUUCUGUUGACCUUUAUGGGCCUCAGAUGAAUUGCACAUGCACUGAUGAGUUCUGAGCCUUCAACACUUGGCCAAAUUGCUUCAAAAUGAUCCUUGGGUAAUGGAAGCUCAUUGGAACCACCCUAGGGCUUUCAUCUCAUGGAAAAUGCUCUUGUUGCCUUGCACAGUUGAAUCUCCUGACCAGACUUGACUGAUGAGAUGUAAUGGACUAUGCAAUGUUAAUGACCUAAAAAUGAAAUGUAUAUACAAAUAGGGGGUGCAAAUUUGAGGUGCUACAGCUGCCCCUAUUCAAUCAACUGGGAACCUGAACGGAUGAGAGCAAUGACUGUCAGACCUUCAAGUUACACAGGGAUUGAAUACCAAAGAACCAUAGAAAUUUGCACUCUGCAGGGAUCCAAGAACAGACUGUCCACCAAGGACAACUUCCACUGGGAUCUGAUAUUUAUCAAUGGACCAGACAAGACGUCUACCAACGAAUCCACUAGGGAUUUUGAUUUUUUUCAGAAAAAGGAACUACAAUCAUACAUCAACAGGUGAUGAAUAGGAGAAAGAGGUACAACCAGACGUCAACGGACGAAUGGGGAAAACUCAACGUUUAUCGAUACCAACGGAGAGGUGACUAGACAUUAACGAAUGACUGGGAGAAAGGAUACAACCAUACGUCAACGGACGAAUGGGAAAAACUCGACGUUUAUCGACACCAACAGAGAGGUGACCAGACAUUAAUGAAUGACUGGGAGAAAGGAUACAACCAUACGUCAAUGGACGAAUGGGAAAAACUCGACGUUUAUCGACACCAACGGAGAAGUGACCAGACAUUAACGAAUGACUGGGAGAAAGGAUACAACCAUACGUCAACGGACGAAUGGGAAAAACUCAACGUUUAUCGAUACCAACGGAGAGGUGACCAGACAUUAACGAAUGACUGGGAGAAAGGAUACAACCAUACGUCAACAGACGAAUGGGAAAAACUCAACGUUUAUCGAUACCAAUGGAGAGGUGACCAGACAUCAACGGAUGAACUGGGAAGACUCGACCAGACAUCAACGGACGAACGGGAGAAGCUCGACGUUUAUCGACACCAACGAAGAGGUGACCAGACAUCAACGGAUGAACUGGGAAGGGAUAUAAUGUUUACUGACAUCGAAAGAUGAUGCGUACAGAAGUGAAGCAAGACCAGACAUUUACCGAUGACUGGGAGAAAGACUCGAUGUUUACCGACAUCGAAAGAUGAUGUUUACCGACACCAAAAAAAAGACGACCAGACAUUUACCGAUGACUAUGCGUACAGAAGUGAAGCAAGACCAGACAUUUACCGAUGACUGGGAGAAAGACUCGAUGUUUACCGACAUCGAAAGAUGAUGUUUACCGACACCAAAAAAAAGACGACCAGACAUUUACCGAUGACCGGAGUGAGACUCGAUGUUUACCGACACCGAAACAAUGGUGCGUACCGACACCAAAGAAAGGACGAUCAAACAUUUACCGAUGACUAGAGUGCGACUCGAUGUUUACCGACACCGAAACAAUGGUGCGUACUGACACCAAAGAAAGAACACACACGGGUGCUGACAUGACACUUACCGGUAUCACAGGGAUGACAUCUACAUAUGUCAAGGCAAGGCUAAACACUUGCUGGGGAUCUCAUCGGGGAGCUCACUGGGGAUAAUCAACCUUGAAUGUUGUCUGUCAAGAGCAACUGUAGCAAAUAUGUCGUGCAGAUGUUGAACAAUGAUCCGCCUCUAUUGGGGAUAUGGUCUAAUCAGGUUUAACACAUGAAUGCAUAUGUUUGAAUUUUUCUAUGGCGUAAUGCUCCAUAUUGAAUGGAAAUGCUACGCGAUUUGAGGAUGCAAUGUUUACUACAUGCAAGAUGCAAAUGAUGAAAACUCCCGCUGAGGAGCAAACGGAUUGCUAUGAUGAGCACACAAAUUUGAUUAAAUUCUUCGACUCGGUGGGGAGAUGCACUGCUGGGGGUGCUUUGCUGAUCUAAUACUCUGGAGACGGCAGAGGAAACCAAGUCAACUCCGGGGAGACUCUGUCUGAGGAACACGCCAACUUCUCAACCGUGCUGGCGAAUAGCAUUGCUGCUGGAGAAAGGAUAAAUCCCACCGGGGACUAACUCCGGGGAGACUCUGUCUGAGGAACACGCCAACUUCUCAACCGUGCUGGCGAAUAGCAUUGCUGCUGGAGAAAGGAUAAAUCCCACCGGGGACGACUUCCACUGAAUCCAAUCCACUGAGGGACUCCGCUGGGGGAAACAACUAAUGCUUACCUCUACUAGGGAUAACUGCUAAUCCUUGAGCAGGAUAAACUCUACUGGGGAUAAUCUUCACCAAGCAUGAUCCGCUUGGGGACUUCGCUGGGGGAAAACCAUCAACACAAACCUCCACUGAGACAAUUACCCUCUUCAAAAUUGCUGGGGAGAACAUUCACAACCCUGCUGGGGAAAGGCAUUCACGACCAUGCUGAGGAAGGCAGUACUUCAUACCCAGACUUUUGAGGAACAGACUACUCGCUGAUACUUCCGUUAGGGAUACAACCUUCAGACUCAGUGGGGACCAACAGUCUUCUGACUAGCUGGGGACAGACCAACUCUCGGGCCUGUUGGGGAACUAACAAUCCUUAGACCUGCUGGGGAUAGAAUAGCCUUUGAACCUGCUACCCGACUGCUGGGGAAUAACAGUUCUAACAGCUUUCAGACUUGCUCGGGGAAACGACCACUCUCAAGCCUGCUGGGGAAACAUCCUCAACCCUUAGGAACAAUCUACCCACCGACACUUCCACUAGGGAUAUGGCAACCUUCAGGCUCGCUGAGGAGACAUCGAUCUCGAAUCUGCUAUGGAGAUAACACUCCCAUCCACUUGGGAGAUACGGCCUAUUUGACAUGGAACGCCCUUCGAUUCGACGAACACUGGCAUUUACCAUCCAACCAUAGUGUCAACUUCCCACUUUUUAGGACUCCCAGACUCGUCCGGUCUUUUCUGAUCCAUCACCCAGUAUUCUCGUCUUUUCUUUGCUUCGAGACAAUUGAUCUCCUCAGAUCCGGGCUAACUCUUUAAUCUUCAGACUUUGAAGAGUCUUCUUGAUUACCCUCUAGGAUCGUCGUCGCAAUUCUUUCAUCUCUUCACCGUUCUUCUAUCCCUUGCCCCUGAUUGGACUCUACAGGGAUCUCCUGUCAAAAUGUUACCCGUCACAACCUGCAAGUGAAUGAAGAUAUCUAACAGCACCUGCACAAGAGAUCGUUAGAUAAAAGCGUGCCCCAGGCGUGCCAACAUUUCAACACCUAGGUCACUCAAACUUCCGAAUAAGAUUUCCAGUCGUGCCCCAGGCGUGCCAACAUUUCAACACCUAGGUCACUCAAACUUCCGAAUAAGAUUUCCAGAUUUCAAUCUUAUAAGCAUGCACCGGAAGGGACCUCUAUGUUUCAAAAUGCAAAUACUCUUAUAAAAAACAAACGGAUGUUUUCGCAAUCAAAGCGGUCAUGAAAACAAAAAACAAAAUUAUUUGACUGAACAUGCAUUUUAUUAACUAAAAGAGGUGUGGCUCGUAACAGAGCCGCACACCGGAAGCAAUCCCUGGAAAGAGGUGAUCGCGCACGAAAGGAAAAAUCUAUCCUAAUGGCAAUGUGAACACCGUGAUCUCAUCGGGUUCCAACUCGGUUACACCUCCUAUGUCCUCAAGACUUUCCGCACUUUCUGUCUUCUGAAUAAGACGCUUCCGAUCGAUCUCUGUCAGGGAUUAUCCAUGAUGUCUUAACCAAAGUACCAACGAUUAUGCUGGACACAGUUGUUCGUUUCAAUCCCUCUUUUGCCUGGACCGCCCUUUCGGGUUUUCAGUCCACCGGGAUACCCUUUUUUGCCCAAGUCGCCCUUGUGGGGUUUUCGACUUGUAUGCUGGACACAGUUGUUCGUUUCAAUCCCUCUUUUGCCUGGACCGCCCUUUCGGGUUUUCAGUCCACCGGGAUACCCUUUUUUGCCCAAGUCGCCCUUGUGGGGUUUUCGACUUGCCGGGUGUACAUAUUUUUCAUUCUUUUUAUCCCUAACUUUUGCCCGAACCUUUUCUCUUUUUUCUUGGUUCGCCGGGAUGCCCCUUUUUGCCUGGACUAUUUUGUUCUUUUCGUCCAGCGGGUCAAUUUUUAACGAAGUAUUUUUUAACUGCGUCCGCAUUCCCAAAGGAUGGAAAAUCUUCGUCAUCUGUGGUCUUCAACAACAAGGCUCUUCCAAAGAACGCCUUCUUGACCACGAAUGGGAUCCAUAAUUUUGUGUCCACUUGCCCCUACGAUCGUUGAGGAGGAAGGAUCCUUUUCAAUACCAGCUCUCCCACGUGGUACGCACGAGGUCGCACUUUUCGGUCAACAACACGCUUCAUUCACUGGGUACAACUGCUCAUGACAAAUAACCGCCAACCCCCUUUUCCUCAGUCAGACUCAACGCGUCAUACCGAGUCCUUAUCCACUCAGCCUUCUCUAAUUUCCCAUCUAUCAGGACUCUCCACAAUGGGAUCUAGACUUCAGUAGGUAAUACCACUUCUAUCCCAUACACGAGCGAGUGCGGCGUUGCCCCAGUAGACGUACGCACCGAAGAUCUAUACCCAGGAUACAAGCUUCGUACUCGGCCACCAUUGUCGGUGCAUUCAAAUGUUAUCCGGGAAACAAAAGGAAUGUGGGAUCUUUUCGGUGUAACCAAAACGACACUAACUCAUCCACAUUAACCUCCCCCCAUCAGACAUCAGAAUCCGUUCGGAUUCAGGGUCAGGCCCCUCCUCCGAGAUCGGUUCCUCACAAUCUUUCGAUUUGAGCACCUCGAGAUGUCCUCAUCAGGGAACUCAAACUUCCUUGGUUGAUAAUCCUCAAUGGGUUGCGGGGCGAUGUAAUCGGACAAUACGCUCCCCUCGAUUGCUUUCUGAGAGGUAUACUGAAUAUCGUAUUCAGUCAACAUCAUUUGCCCUCUUGCCACCCGUCCGGUCGAUGCUAGCUUCUCAAACACAUACUUGAUCGGAUCCAUCUUGGAAAUCCACAAAGUGGUAUGAACCAGCAUAUACUGUCUCAGUCGGCGAGCAACCUAUGCCAAAGUACAACAAGUUUUCUCGAGCAGUGAAUGUAUUGUUUCACAGUCGGUAAACUCUUUGCUAAGGUAAAUUGCAUGCUCUUUUCAACCAGACUCGUUAUGCCGACACAAUACGCACCUCAUAGACACCUCAAGGGCUGUCAAGUACCAGAUUAACAGUUGUUCCUGCAACUUAUUCUUUUAUCUUUCAACGCCCCUUGGCAAUCAUUAUCCACCUGACCGUUUGCUCCCUUUUUUCUUGAAUGGGUUCCCACGUGGCUAUCAGAUGAGAUAUGAACCGUGAAAUGCAAUUCAAUCUAUCUAAGAAACCACGAACCUUCUUUUGUUUUCGGUUCAGGCAUUUCUUGUAUCGCUUUCCUUUUCUUCUUCUUUUUUUUUUUUAGCAGGAUCAACCUCGAUUCCUCUUAUUCGCUCACAAUGAGCCUCAGCAUUUUACCGAACAACACUCCACAAGUGCACUGAUUCGGACUCAACCUCAGUCUGAGUUGUCUCGAUCCGGUCAAACAACUUGCCCCGGUCUACCGGAUGCCCUUUUCUGUUCGGGACUUUGCUAUCAUGUCAUCAACAUAGCAUUUGAUUCCACGAUGAAUCAUAUCAUGAAACAAAGUCACCAUGGCUCUUUGAUACAUGGCAUCGGCGCUCUGCUUCACUAGAGGACAAUCUUCUCUCAAUGGUAGCUUGUGCACAACGACAUCGGUAUCCGACCCUGGCAUAUCCUGAUACGACCAGGCGAAGGUAUCGACAUGCUCUUUUAAUAGUGCUACCAUUUUGCUCUUUAUAUUAGCCCCUGAAGCGGCCCCCAACUUUCACUUCCUUUCUGACCUCGGCGGUGCCUGGAAUAAUAAUCUUGAAUCACUCCUCGUGCGGUUGAAUCACCUUCUCCUCUUGUUUCAACAACCUGGCUAAUUCCAGCAGAUCACAAUCUUCUUCGCCUUCUUCUUCGGCAUGAUAGAUCGGAUUGUCGAAGUCAUAUAGAGGUGUAACCGAAUUGUUAUCAAUGAGAUCAGGAAGAUAGUCUCUUUUGAGGUCGGAACAAGACAAAUCAAAAGGAAAGAAAAAUGAAAAUAAACAUUGCCAUUUUUAUUUUUUAAACUGCAAAAAUAAAUGAAAGACAGGGAACACCGCUUUUAAUCACAAAAACAUCCAUUUAUUAAUGAUGCAAAAUGUUGCACAAUGAAACACAUGAGAUGGCCCUUACAAUGGACCAUUACGUUUUGGGCAAAACGUAUGGCUUUCAUGCAAACAGAAUUGAAAAACAGAAAUACUACUCUUCAUGAUGAGUGACAAUGAUGAUCUUUGAGGCCUUCCAGUUCCCUGGUACGCACGAUUUUAUCCACGAGUCAAGCUCGCAGUCACUAUCAAUCUCUUCAUCCACUAUACAGGCGUGACCUGGAUCCAGCAUUCUGGCACUGACGAAUGUGAACGAUGGACGACAUCCUCUGUUUUGUCUAGAUGACUCUUGAUUUGGCUGAUAGCCAACCUCGAACAUAUCUACUUUCACCACAAUGUCUAUGAUCUUUCCCCAGCCCAGGGCUUCUCCGUUCUUCACCACUUCCAUGGCCUAUCUGUAAGAAGAAAUGGACAACUUCUUCUCUUUCUCAGCUAGAAUGGCAUCCUCUACCUUGACGGUUUCAACUGCCUGACUUGGUGUUUCAAAUUUUUCAUCGUCCAUUUCUACUUCCAUCAUUCUCUAGAUCGUUUCCCCCCUCAUUACACACCCAUUUGUGGCGACGGCCGCACAACAGUUAUCAACACUAGGGAAUGCUCCACUCUUCAUCAGAUGUUUUGGGACCACAGACACUGAAGUUUUUAACUGAUCCCCCUCAGGCACCUCUAUUUCUCUCUUGUCCUUUGACAUCACCUUCACCCCCACGGGACCUGGCACGGGGUUAGCACUAACAUUCAGUGUCGGUGCCAAACUGAUGGCCUUAGAAUCCACCAUAUCUUGGACAACAUGCUUAAAAGCUCUACAACCCUCAAUGUUAUGUCCUGGUGCCCCAGAAUGGAACUCUCACCUGGCAUUCUCAUCAUAGUUUGCAGGCCUCCGAUGCAGUUCUACAGGAACCAAUAUCCUCGGCCGAACUAACCCAAGAUCCCUCAACCUCUUGAACAAAAGGGUAUAAGUCACGAGUGGCUUAUCAAACUAACGAUCCGUCGUCUCCUUCUUCACUUGGCCCUUAGCUUUCUGUGCUUUCUGUCGAGGUGGCGGUUGUUGCUGUUGUACAGAUGGAUUACCAGCAGGAGUGGUUACAGCGGCAUCAUAAGGGUGGUAACGAUCCUUACCGCGUUCUUUCUUGGCCUGCACACCACCUGAUUCAACCUCCUUCUUGAGCUGACCAUUGCCAGAGGGCUUCUUUACUAUGGAUGACGGAGCCUUUCCCUGAACUUUCUCAUUUAUCAUCCAGCUUUCGAUCCUUUCCACCCUCUCAGCAAUCGCUUUCUGCCCCAAGGCGAGCCCUUGCACGACUUUGAACAACUCUCUCAUCAUCUCUUUCAAUUCGAGAAUGUCGGCGUUGGGUGGAUCCAUCAGUCUGAGAUAUCUGAACGAAAUAGCUAUGCGCACCGGUUAGAUACUGACACCUACAAAACAGCAAACAGGUUAAUAUGACUCACACAUGCAAUGUCUAUCCGUAUGAGGAAUAUUAUAUCCUUCGAUUCUAGCUUCAUUGAGACGGAUAAUAUUUCAUCAACAACAUUCUGACAUCCGGAUGUCUCUCGACCAGAAUCUCGAUCGAAAAUGGACCCUGAGUAUGGAUAGACAUGGGUUAAAUACAGAUGAAUGCGAAAUGGGAAUGAUGCAAAUGCAUGCAGGCAGGUCACUGUGCCAUCUUCCAAGUCAUCUGAGGAUCAACUGUACUGGGCCGGUCUCUGAACUGAUCACAAUCAUCUGAGGGUCCGAGUAACCAUAAAUCCAACUUGGGAAGUUCCGAAAUAAACGGAACCGGGGGAUAUAUCACUAUUAUCACAGGAAAUCUACUGAACGAAUGACAACCAGAUCCUUUGAACAAGUAUCCUCAAAUUCAACCCGGGGAUCCGAAAUAAACGGAACCCGCUGAUAGAUGUCACGGACAGAACUCCGGCGUGUCAGAAGUAAGUACCCAUAAGUUCAUCUGAACCAUAGUCACCCUCUGUACCUGCAAAUGAUUCAAUCCCUCCCCACUCACGGGUGUCAUCUGGGCCAGGGUAAGGUCAAGAGAAACGCAGGAUAAACAACCCUUUCAAGAAUAUCAUCCUGUACACAUCAGAUGUAUGUACCGAUAAUACCCCAUCAGGAUCUAAACUGCUCGUGAUAUCACGUUCCGCUAAGUGGCACAAUACCACCCGCUUCCCAUGAAUCACUAUAUUCCUAGGUGUCCUAAAGUUCACUCAUGGCCUGGGUAUUAGGCCUUUUACCUCUUGUAACUCCCACCCCACAGAGAGAUACACACAGCCAGCACAGAUGAAAAUAUGAUGCAUGCAAACAUAAACAAAUAAAUGCAAUAAAUGAAACAGUAAAAGCAACCAAACCCUAUCCUAAAGAGCGCUAGGAGUGACUCGCUUAGGGAAGAUGGACCAGCAAGAGGUCAACUUCUCUNUUGUUGAGAGAGAUAAACCUGUGAAAGGACAUGGUCUUCGCGACCAGAGAUCGAUAGGAUCGGGACGUCGUAUGCGAAGGGAAUUAUUAGCAGGCCCUACGCAUCCGUCGACUCGACGGACCACGCUCAAAAAGAUAGAAGAAGGUUGCUAAAGAACUGCGUCAACAGCUGCACACACACUGGAAGGAGGACAGCAGAAGACAAAGAAACGGGACUCGGCCAGGAUAUCGCAUCCUGCGGCCUACGUAGUUCUUGUCAGACACAGACAUUAGAGUCGACGUAGUUCGCCGGAAACAGGGGAAACGUGCUCGCUAGAUUCGCAUCCUAUUGCCAUACGUUAUCUUUCUCUGACCGAGAAGGAAUCAGAGCCACUCGUAGCUCGCUAACGCACGCCAAACAAAACCACACGGAAACCGUUUGCAAUCGCUGGACUUACGGUAGAGCUCCACACCAAACAGGGCAACAUGAACCGAAUGCAAUCGCUGGACUUAAUCAGACUCCGAAACAACAAACACACAUAGGAAACCAACUGCCAAUCGCUGGACUUACGUCAGACUCCAACAAGCAAACAAGACACAGGAAACCAACUGCCAAUCGCUGGACUUACGUCAGACUCCAAACACACACAAAGGGGUUGCAAAAGAAAAAGGGCACCCGGAGAGAUCAGCUCAUCUCCUGCCUACGUACCUCAUCUGGUAUGAGGAUCAGGGCGACGUAGUUCCCCUACGCAGGGAAAGAACUUCUAUCCUAACCAGAGACUAGGAAAUGACGAACUAGAAGGGAGCCUGACUCGAGCCUAAUAGUCAUCAUGUAAUCCACAAUGGUCCUAGGUUGAGGUUUCUAUCCUAACUUGCACAGGAAGCAAGCUAUCCUAAACAGCACAAUCAAACAAACAAGCACAGUAAAGCAAUCACACACACUAUAUGCAAGCAAUUGGGUUCAUACAGGGCUAGGCUGCAGAAACAAGCCAACUGGAAUGGGGUGGUUUUAGCUCUUAACCCUAACAUUGAGAGUUAGGGUGAAGCAGAUGAAAUGGAGAUGAGGGGUGUGCCUCAUAGCUCUUAUCCCUGGCCUGGGAGAGCUUGACUCAAAAUAGAAAGUGUGGGAGUUCAGAAUGUAGGAACUCUUCUCCAUAGAUGACUGACACUACAAGAGUUUGGGUUUUUAUUCACAAUGCAUCAACACAUGGUGUGAGCAAGAGGAAUGACACACUGAGUAGCAGGGGAUGGAUUACACAUCCCUUUUAUCUGCCAAUUGCCUCUCAAGAGUUUGGGUUUUUAUUCACAAUGCAUCAACACAUGGUGUGAGCAAGAGGAAUGACACACUGAGUAGCAGGGGAUGGAUUACACAUCCCUUUUAUCUGCCAAUUGCCUCCUAAGAGGUCUUUACAUGCUUGGCACAAAAUUAAACAUUCACAAACAUUGCCUCUUAAGGAGGGCUUCAGACAGGUGCCUACCAAUAACAAUAGGUCUUCCAGACUACAUGAAGUCAAGAGAUCAUACCUCAGUGGUAUGCAAACCACAAGCAAUGCCAAGCAAGUUCAAAUGAACUCAAAUCAACUUAGGUACCUGUGGAAACAUCUAAACCAAUCAGUUCAACUGUACAGACAAACAAUCAACAAUUAAUAACAAGCAGACAGACAAAGCAUCAUCAAACAACAAUGAGCAAGCCACAAGCACAAGUGAAUUGUUCUCAAAGCCUACAAAACACACAAAGGUUAGCACAUGACAACAAUUGACCAAGCUUAAAUGAAGGAGCCACUCCAAUCAUGGAAAUGUACAUUACAAAACACACAAAGGUUAGCACAUGACAACAAUUGACCAAGCUUAAAUGAAGGAGCCACUCCAAUCAUGGAAAUGUACACUUGAACCUGAAAUUCACAACCCAAAUGGUAAGUCCAAACCACUAGGUUAAAGCCUAGGGUCAAAAGAGGAUCAAAAAGUCAAAACAGGGACUGAAAUUUAACACAAAGCAACUUCAAACACAUAUUGACAUAUCCUAAAAAGGCUCACAUCAAAAUCAUUAAUCAAAUGCAUUUCAUGAUCAAGUGAAGUCAAAGGCAAUUUCAAAGUUCAUAUGUAAUCAACAUGAAUGAAAAUUCUCAAUCAAAACAGAAAUGAUUCAAAUAAAUCUGGAAAAAUUCAUGAGCAAUCAAGACAUCCAUAACAUCCAUCACACAAAAAAUCAGAAGUAUUGGAGAUCAUUUGGCAUGGCAAUCACAUUGUACAAGUCAGACAACCAAAUGUGUGACACAAAUUGUCACACCAAGUUAGCACAAGCAUAAAACAGAAAUGGAGCAUGGGAAAAAUGUCAAACCAAAGCCAAAAUGUCCAUCGAUAUGUCUAGAAUCAACAUGCAAAAUUUCAGGUUCAUUGGAUAAGAAACAAGCAUUUUAUGACAAGAUAAGCAAGGCAAGGUCAAAUAUGCAUAUGUGUUCAAACAUCCUAGGGAAAAUUAAUUUUCCAGCAAUGCACAACUUUCCAAUUCAUGCUCAUAAACAACUAGACAGAAUAAGGAGCAUUUUGUAAAAAAUUGGGAUGAAAUUGGAUCAAUUUUCAAUUUGAUAUGAUUUUUCUAAGUUUGGGAAAAAAAUGAAGUUCAAAAAUGGACCAAGGCAUGAAAAUGGGAGGGAAAAGGUGAAAAUCAUGAAGCAUUUGAAAAAAUGCGCUCGCUCAGUAUCGAACCCUUGCCAGAUUCAAAUUUGCGCGCCCAACCUAAAACGAAAUCGUCUCAACUAAAGCCCUAGCGCUGGUAACACGUUCCCAGAAUUUCGUAGCAAAUGUGAAGAUUUCGUAGCUAAUGGAAGAACAUUCGUAGCAAAACCAUAGCAAGUUCUGGAAAACGCAUGAUCUUCAUAGGUUGAAGAUGAAGAUUGCAUGAUGUUCAUAAGCAAAUUCCAGAAAAUCCAAAACAUUCCAGAAAUAAAAAAUAAUUACAUCAAUCUACUCCUCGUUUCAUGCACAUCAAAGAUCCAUAACCAAAUCAUGCAAAAACAUCAUAACAAGUUCUGAUCGAAGGAAAUAAGAUUUGACAUCAAACUUUCAAUCAAGCAUAACUUCAUGAAUAUUGCGCCAUUUCACUCAAAUUUUAUACCAGAAUGAUCACCAAUGAAAGAUCUACACAAAUAUCAUGAUGAAUUGCAAAAUAAGUGAACUCGAAACCUGACCUCUUUGAAGAACAGAAUCUAGAAUCGUGCUCUACAAAGCUCAACAAUGCCUCAAAUAUUCUCUACAAUGCUUAUUGAUGUGAGUGAUGAUGAAUUGGAUGCUCCAGCAUGCACGAACUUAGCUCAAUUUGCAAUCUCCAUUGAAUCUUCAAGCUUCAAGUAUGAGCAAAAUAUGGCACGAAUCCUCUUAAAUCCACGUUCAAACUUGCUCAAGAAUGCUCUAUGAUCAUGAUUCCAUCAAUAGAAAAUGCUUUUGUGUGAAGAAUUGCAAAAUAUUUGAGAGAAAAAUUUGGAUGAUUUUUGAAUCUAGAUCUGAAAAUGGAUGUUCAUCGUGAAAGCAGUUAAGAUUAUCCUUAUAUAUCCCAUGCUAAUCAUUCUGAAAACCAGUUUAAGCCAAAGCUAAUCAAGAUUAACAACUUAUAAGGUGUAUGAGAAAAUUGGUAUUUGCACCUCAUGCCUUUCAUGCAUGCGUGAACAGUAUACAAUACUGAUCCAAAAUCACUUAAACAAGGCCCAUGCAAGCUUUUGACUUGAUAUUUUAUGCAUAUGAUCAACCAAAAUGAUUUUAGAAAUUUUUCUUCCAAAAACUUCAUGAGUGAGCAUAUGAUCAUGCAAAGGAAACUUAUGCCAUGUAAUGAGAUGUUUGGAAAGUACAUGUUAUGAUGAACAAAAUGCAAAAAGAACCACCCAAAUUGGAGCCUUGGUUCAAAAGUUAUGCCCAUUUGAUUUUUCAAGCACCCUUUGCCAUGAUUGGAUCAUAUCUCCUCAACCACACACUAGAAAUUCAUGAUCUUUGACUUUUUGGAAAUGGGAGAGAAAGACCUUCAACUUUCAUGUUGGACAAAAUUUCAUUUGAAGCUUUCUUGAUGAUGUAAAAUUGAGUUGAAGUUGGUUCAAAACCUUUCCAUUUUUGGAAAGUUCAAAUUAUGGGUCACUUGCUAUUUUGGGAAAUUCUUGACCUGACUUCAAAUUCUUCAAUGUGAGUGUUUGAGAUGUCAAAUGAGACUGUUUGACAUGAAUGAAGCAUCUCUAAUCACUUCCACCUCCAAAUCCACAGUUGACUUUGCAGUUGACUUCUGUUGACUUUUAUGGCCUCAGAUGAAUUGCACAUGCACUGAUGAGUUUUGAGCCUUUCAACACUUGGCCAAAUUGCUUCAAAAUGAUCCUUGGGUAAUGGAAGCUCAAUGGAACCACCCUAGGGCUUUCAUCUCAUGGAAAAUGCUUGUUGCCUUGCACAGUUGAAUCUCCUGACCAGACUUGACUGAUGAGAUGUAAUGGACUAUGUAAUGUGAAGGCAAUGUUAAUGACCUAAAAAUGAAAUGUAUAUACAAAUGGGGGGGGGGGGUGAAAAUUUGAGGUGCUACACUGUGCACUUGCAGUCACGAAUCCUAUAGACAUACUAAGUCACGAUCAAUUUUUUGGUGCCGUUGUCGGGGACUAAAUUAGUCGAUAUCGUAACUCUAGUGUUGCACAGUAUAGACUAAGGCAAACAAAACUAUUUCCCUUUUUUAAUUUUUUGAUUGUAUGCCAAGUACUAGCUCUCAAAGCGAGAAACUAAAGCUACCAUUCGACGAACCAAAACAUUAUCUAAGAUUAGAACGUCAGAUACGAGAAUACCGUAUCAAGUACAAUCUUCCCGAUCCUAAUAUCCUUAUUCCCGAACAAGUUAUAGAACCAAAGAUGGUUGAAGGACCACAGAAUCGUCCUCUCGAGUACUAUGCCAUCCCUUCGCAGGAUGAACCACAUAACAACAUGGUUGCCACUAUCAUCGAGGCAAAUAAUUUUGAGCUAAAACCUUCGUUGUUUUCAGCCGUACAGCAAAACCAAUUUUCUGGUAGUCCAACGGAGGACCCGAACCUACAUUUGUCAGUGUUUUUGCAAUACGCAGACACAGUGAAAGCAAAAGGUGUCAGCCCCGAAGCAAUAAGACUACGUCUUUUCCCUUUCUCAUUAAGAGAUAAAGUUAGAGCUUGGCUCUAGUCUUUACCGUCCAACUCUGUCACUACGUGGAACAAGUUGAAGAAAGUUUUCUUAGCACGAUAUAUCCCACCUAGUAAGACAACUGUGCCAAGAGCCCAAAUAAACGGGUUUAAAAAAAAGACAACGAAUCACUUUUCGAAGCAUGGGAGAGAUACAAGGACAUGAUGAGACUUUGUCCACAUCACAGUCUAGAAGAGUGGUUGAUCAUCCAUACCUUUUACAACGGUCUCUUGUACAACACAAGAUUGAUAAUAGACGUCGCCGUGGGUGGCGCACUGAUGGAUAAACCCUACAAUAAGGCUUAUCAACUUAUCAAAAGUAUGGCCCAAAAUCACUACCAGUGGGGAAGUGAAAGAACCUCCGUAGAGAAACCUCUAACGAAAGGCGAUAUGUACGAAAUAAGCAGUCUUGAACAUGUCAAUGCUAAGGUUGAUUCCCUCACUCAAAAGAUAGAAAACCCGACCAUAACACCCGCGGCCACCAUGGUUGCCGUAGCACCGAACUGCGAGAUAUGUGGAGUUCUUGGGCAUGCUGCCCCUGAAUGUCAACUUUUGACAGGAAUCUCCACAAACCAAGUGAAUUAUGCUCAAGGAAACCUUUACUCAAACACCUAUAACCCAGGUUGGAAGAACCAUCCGAACUUUUUGUACAAAAACAACAAUGCAUUAUAUGCACCUAACCAAGCACCUGCUAUACCACCAGGAUAUCAUAAAGCUGUCACAAAUGCUCCAAAUGCUCCUAGGAAGUCAAACCUUGAAAUAAUGAUGGAAAACUUCAUAGCUACCCAAGCCCAAACAAAUAAGGAUUUCCUAAAUCAAAACAUACACACUAGUGAGCAAAUUAAGCAAUUAGCAAACAAAGUAGACGCUUUAGCCACCCAUAACAAAAUGUUAGAAACACAAAUUUCGCAAGUGUCACAACAGCAAGCACCUACUGCUGCCCCUACAGGUACAUUUCCUGGACAGCCACAACCAAACCCUAAAGGUCAUGCAAAUGCUAUUAUACUAUGAAAUGGGACAGAAUUAGACGGACCAACCGAUCCUAGAAUUCAAAAUCCAGCCAUGCACCAAGACCUUGGUAAAAUAACUGAGAAGGAAGACGUAUUAAAGGAAAAUAAAAGCAAAGAGGCCAUAGAUAAAGAAGAACCAUAUGUGUCUCCACCACCGUAUAAACCUCAUAUCCCGUAUCCUCAAAUAUUUGUUAAGUCCAAAAGUGUAGGGCAAUUCAAGAAAUUUGUAGAGCUUUUGAAACAAUUGAAUAUCACAAUACCUUUUACAGAAGCUAUCACUCAAAUGCCCUUAUACGCUAAAUUUCUUAAGAAGAUCUUAUCUAACAAGAAGAAAAUCGAGGAUAACGAAACCGUUACACUUAUUACUGAGUGUAGCGCUAUAAUUCAAAAUAAUAUGCCUCAUAAACUGAAAGACCCAGGGAGUUUCUCCAUACCCUGUGUUAUCGGAAAGUUUGUCAUAGACAAAGCUCUAUGCAACUUAGGAGCCAAUAUUAACUUAAUGCCCUUGUCCAUAGGCGAAAGGCUUAAAAUGGGAGAGUUGAGACCAACUAGGAUGUCCGUACAACUUGUGGACCAUUCUGUUAAAUUUCCCGUAGGUAUGCUAGAGAGCGUUCUAGUGCGCAUAGGUCAAUUCUAUAUUCCUACUGAUUUCAUAAUCAUGGACAUAAAGGAGGAUUCCAAUAUCCCUAUCAUAUUAGGAAGACCAUUCUUAGUUACUGCCGGAGCUAUUGUAGAUGUAAAGAAAGGCAAGCUAACAUUUGAAGUCGAUGAAGAAAAAGUCGAAUUUAUUUUGACGAAAUUCUUAAAGGCACCAGCUAUAAAUGAUACAUGUUAUCUUCUAGAUGUCAUCGACGAAUGUGUAAGAGAAAUGGAGAAUGAACAAACUUCAUACUCCGAAAUACUGAAAAUUCCAAUGCCUCCUACUUUUGAAGAUGAAAAUUGGCGUCAGGAAUACCAAGAUGACAGUCUAAGUGAAUGUCUAGCACUGACACCCAAUCAUAUGCCUUGCCCGAAGAAACCAGCAUUAAAAUUUAAAACACUACCAACAAAUUUAAGGUACGAAUUCCUAGACAUUGAACUCGAGCGACCUGUAAUAGUUAACACAGACUUAGGACAGAUAGAAACCGAGAAACUCCUAUAUGUUUUAAGAAAAUAUCCAAUUGAUUUAGGCUAUAAUAUCUCAGAUCUAAAAGGAAUAAAUCCUUCCAUGUGCAUGCAUCACAUUAUGCUAGAGGAAUACAAUAAGACCUCUAGAGAACAUCAAAGAAGGAUAAAUCUCGUUCUGAGUGAUGUAGUAAAGAGAGAAGUGCAAAAGCUAUUAGAAGCAGGGAUUAGAAGCUAUUAGAAGCAGGGAUUAUAUACCCGAAUAUCGUUCGGACUAUGUAACGUUCCCGCAACAUUCCCGCAACCUUCAAUUUUUGUUGAUUUUAUAGACGACAUCAUGGAAGUAUUUAUGGACGGUUUCUCUAUUUGCGGGCAGAGUUUUGAAGAAUGUUUAUCGAAUCUAGAAAUGGUACUUGAAAGAUGUGUAAAAGUGAAUCUCGUGUUAAAUUGGGAAAAAUGUCAUUUCAUGGUCCGACAAGGAAUCAUACUUGGACACAUAGUGUCUGAUAAGGGGAUUGAAGUUGACAAAUCUAAAAUAGAAGUUAUAGAAAACCUUUAACCUCUAAAAACCGUAAGAGAAAUACGAAGUUUCUUAGGACACACCGAUUUCUACCGACGAUUCAUUAAAGAUUUCUCCAAAAUCACCAAACCACUAACUGACCUAUUAAUGAAAGACGCUGAAUUCAUCUUUGACGACAAAUGCCUAAAAGCAUUUGAACAAUUAAAAACAACUCUCAUCACGACACCUAUCAUGCAACCACCCGAUUGGAGAUUACCGUUUGAAAUCAUGUGCGACGCUAGUGAUUAUGCCGUAGGCGCAGUCUUAGGAAAAAGAAAGGAUAGGAAGCUUCAUGCAAUAUAUUAUGCAAGUAGAACCUUAGAUCAUGCGCAUAUGAACUAUGCCACCAUGGAAAAGGAACUUUUAGCUGUCAGAUUCGCCUUGGAUAAAUUUCAUUCUUACCUGGUAGGAGCAAGAAUAAUUAUCUAUACCGAUCAUGCCGCCAUUAGGUACCUAUUAAGUAAAAAGGACGCCAAACCAAGACUUAUAAGGUGGAUUUUACUCCUACAAGAGUUUUAUUUAGAAAUCAAAGAUAAGUGAGGCACUGAAAAUGUCGUAGUUGAUCACUUGUCGAGGAUGGAAGGUAUUGAAGCUGAACGGGUGCCUAUCAAUGAUGAUUUCCUUUAUGAACGACUCAUAGCCCAGUCGGAAAGUAAUACAGAUGAAUGCUCAUUAACUUAUAAUGAUACCGAAACAAAUGAAGUAGUGGAAGCAAUUUACACUAAAACCACAUUGCCAUGGUAUGCUGACUUCGUCAACUACUUAGCAGUUGGGGUGCUUCCACCAGACUUGACUUACCAACAAAAGAAGAAAUUCUUCCAUGAUCUUAAACAAUAUUAUUGGGAUGAGCCUCUGCUUUUCAAAAGAGGCACCAGUGGUAUCUUCCGUCGAUGUGUCCCCGAAGAUGAAGUAGAAAAUAUAAUUUCUCACUGUCAUUCUUCUCCCUAUGGAGGAAAUGCAAGCACUUCAAAGACUUGCACUAAGAUCUUGUAGGUCGGCCUCUUUUGGCCCACUCUGUGGAAAGAUGUCCACAUCGCAAUCAUAAAUUGCGUCCGGUGCCAACGCACUGGCAACAUCUCUAGACGCGACGAAAUUCCACUUAAAGGCAUUUUGGAAGUAGAAGUCUUUGGCGUGUGGGGAAUUGAUUUCAUAGGACCAUUCUCAUCUUCUUUUGGUAACAAGUACAUACUCGUUGCUAUUGAUUACGUAUCCAAAUGGAUCGAGGUUAUAGCCUCUCCAACAAAUGACGUGCGAGUGGUAAUUAGGAUCUUCAAGCAUAUAAUUUUUUCUAGAUUCGGUGUGCCGAGACUUGUCAUCAGUGACGGUGGCUCCCAUUUCAUUUCAAAGAUCUUUGAAAAGCUUUUACUGAAAUAUGGAGUCUGACACUGCGUAGCAACACCAUAUCACCCGCAAACAAGUGGGCAAGUAGAGGUCUCGAAUAGAGAAAUUAAGCAAAUCUUAGAAAAAACAGUUGUCACCUCUAGGAAAGAUUGGUCUUCAAAGUUACACGAAGCUCUGUGGGUAUAUAGGACAACUCAUAAGACCCCGAUAGGAACCACACCAUUUAAGCUAUUUUAUGGAAAAUCGUGUCAUUUGCUGGUAGAAUUAGAGCAUAAAGCAUAUUGGGUUGUUAAGACCCUUAAUCUCAAUUAUACUGUCGCAGGCGAGAAAAGAAUAUUAGAUAUCCAUGAACUAGAAGAACUUAGAUUAGACGCGUAUGAGAAUGCCCGAAUCUAUAAAGAAAGAACUAAAAAAUGGCAUGACGAUCGUAUAUCGAGGAAAAAGUUUAAUGAGGGUGACGUAGUACUUCUGUUUAAUUCCCGACUUAAACUUUUUCCAGGAAAACUUUGUUCUAGGUGGUCUGGUCCCUUUGAAAUUACCAAAGUUUUUCCAAAUGGAGUGAUAGAGAUAAAGGGCAAAUCUAGUGAACCAUUUAUCGUAAACGGGCAGCGCUUGAAACAUUAUCAUAACAUUGACAACAAAGAUUUUUCCACUAAUCUAAAGCUUGCAGAGCCGCCCACUCAUUCACCGAAUUAAUCUUUAGCUAAAUUUUGUCGAGCUUACGACAGUAAACAAAGCGCUUGGUGGGAGACAACCCACAUCUUAUUUUGAAUUAUUAAUUCUAUCUUCUCAAUUAUUGUUUAUUACUAUUUAUUUCUCAAUUUUUUUAUCUCUUUCAUAAAGUCACCUGAUACUUUUCUUUAUUAUUAACCAUUACUGACUUAGCGCUAUUGUCUACUUAAAUUUAUCUAGCUACUGACUUUCACGAUGCAACAAGUAGACUACAUGGAUGUCGUUUUCAGAGGCAGAGGUCAGAGGAGACGCUUUGAAGCUUUAGCUCAGAGAGAGAUGGCACUAACUAUCUACCACGGUGGACGUACUAUGACUAAGUUAGGUAUCUGAGAUAGUGUUAUGUUCCUUCUUAACCAAAUUGGUUGGGAUAAUUUUGCUAUCAAAAGAAGAUUUAGUUCUUACCGUAGGUUAACCCUAGAAUUCCUGAGCUCCCUUGUUUACUUGCCAAACCAUGGUGUGGAUUCAAUAGAGGCCUUAUCACCUUUAGGAUGUUUGAUAUUGAGUAUCACUAUAAUCAUAAAGAAAUAGCUGAACUCCUAGGAUGCCCAAAUGGCCCUGAUGCCUUUACCGUCACCUAGGAAGAACUACUCACAGACCUUGAACUAAACUACUUUUGGGGAAGCAUUACCGGAAACAACCAUUCUGAGCCAAAUCUCAUGUAUUCUGAGAACAUUCAUAACCCUGCGAUCCGUUAUUUUCAUAAGAUCCUAGAUCACACCCUAUUUGGGAAAGAACAAAACAUAACCUUCGUGUCCAAAGACGAUCUCUUCAUAAUGUAUUGUGCAUCACAAGCCCGUCCUGUUAAUGCCGCUACAUUUAUGAUAGCCAACUUAGAUCGUAUGACACAAGCAACCCAUGGGCCAAUCCUAAUAGGGGGUCUAGUAACCAUGAUCGCCAAUGCUAUUGGACCGAGACAACCACUUAUUGGACUUAACCCUCUAGGUGGAAUAUGACCGAUGCACAUUCAGUUAUAUGUCAACACUAGUAUUAUUAGAAACCUGGGCCCGAAUGUGUUUGAAUUUCUUAUCAACAACCAAGUUGUGCACCUGUUUACCCUACCAAACCAUAAGACUAGUGUACAUGACAUAAACAAUUGGCUCUUUGAUUUGGAUAAACCGCAAGAUGCACCACCCUCUCCUCCAGAGACACCCCAAAUCUAUGACCACUAUGAUGCAUAUCUCUAUGACGCUGACUCAUUUGCCUCUGUUGUACCUGUUGCACAGCCUAUUGAUCAUGUCGCUGUCAUCAAUGUUGUCCAGACUGACAUUGCUAACCUAAGAGACGAAUUAAGCACUUUGCGCAUGGACCUCCACGGAUUUAUGGAUGUAGUGACAGAGAAUUUGGAUCACAUUUAUCAACAUUUUUACUCUUUCGCUCCUCUUGUCGGCGGUCGCCGUAAUGGCUAAUAUAUCUGAAUUUUACUGCAUGUCUGACAUUAAUUUUAGAUUUUUCCAUGUUAGGAUUUUCUUUUUCUUUUUACAAUUUAGGAUUUUUUAAUUGUUUCAAUUUUAUCUAGCAAACUUAUUCAACUAUGUAAUUCAUUUCUAUUUAUCUCAUUUUUUUUCGAUUUCAUGUUUUAAUUUAAUUCUACCAUACCCUAUUUAAUUUUCACUUUUAUGUUUUUUUUUGCCUUUCUUUCACCUAACUAUUCAACAACUACCAAAAUAUGGUCCAAUGAAUUUACAUGCAAGACUGUGGUCAAACGAAACUACAUGGUUAAGCACAUUAACACAACAUGUGGCGCCUACCACACCCACAACUAGUGGCGCCUGCCACACGUACCAUUGUGGCGCCCGACACACCCACCAAAUGUGGCGCCUGCGACACAUUUCACCAUGUAAGCAGUCUGCCACUAACACCAUCACGUAAUACAAGCCUGCCCCAUUAAUCUUUGUCCCUUGCAUGCCAAACAAGUUUUUAAUUUUUUUAAUCACCUUUAAUCUCCUUUGACCACUACAUUUAUCACUAUUCAUUAAAAUUUAUUCCAUUUAAAACUUUCCAAUUACCAUUUAACUCUAUAUAAACUUUUGCAACAUAACCCCACAAAACACAUCUCAAUCUCACGUUGCAUAAACAAAUUUCUACUUCUUCUUACUACUCGAGUUGUGUAAAUUUUGGUCAUGACACAAAGGCACGGAUAUGAAAUAUUUUUCAGAGCAGGCGAACUAGGUGAAUUGCAGGAAGAAAUCUACAAGGCUCUAAGCACAAGAGAAAUAGAGUCAACAAGGUACACUGAUGAACCUUAUUUAAUAGCCUUAGGAAUUCUUGAUAGUGUUAAUCAUAUGCUUAAUACUUUAAGUCUAAAUUAUUUCUUAUCUUUUAAAGACCUGGUCUAUGUCCAACUAACGCUAGAAUUCCUUAGUACGCUUAUUUUUAGCCCCACCCCCAACACAGGCUGUUCCAAUGGGAUUGUUCAAUUUCGCCUGUUCAAUAUAUAGUACGCUUUUAAUUUUUCCCAACUAGCGGACCUGCUACGAUUCCCCCACGGGGAUGACUUAGUAUGUGAGGUCCCGGAUACUGAUGGUUGGCAGCAUGUUUUUCAACCAUUCUGGAGGGUAAUAACAGAUACGGUAACACACAGGUUUAAGGGAAAUAAAUCCACUUUAAUUCACAAUCCAGCCAUACGUUAUUUCCGCCAACUAUUGUCUUGCACUAUUUUUUGCCGAUCCAAUUCUAACAAGGUGAACGAGAAAGAAUUUUUCUAUCUGUUCGCCACAUUUGUGCCACAAAAGGUCAAUACCGUCCCAUUCAUAUUUUCUCACACGCGGGCCAUAGUCAACGCGAGAAGAGAACCAAUUAUUUUUGGCGGUUUAAUAACCUCAAUAGCUUGAGUCCUAGGACUCGAAUAAAAAUUCUCCUACCUAACACCGCUCUCGUCCCGUGCCAUUGAUACUGACAUGACUAGAAGCAUGAAAUUGGUAAAAUGAAGGCAAGACGGUAAAUUUCACCUAAUGGUUGCCAAUAGUGUUUUCCCGAAUUUCAUUCUCCCCAACCCAAAUCGCACAGAUGUGCGUAAUCCGGAUAACUAUUGUUAUAUUCAUAAUCCGGUGCCUAACCCAGUCCCCGCGCACAUUCCUGAGAAUGUAGUUGCUGGCGAGAACAUUGAUGAGGAUUAUGACCAGGAGCAGGACGCUCUUGCUACUGACACACACCAUACACCACACACGUUUCUUCUAAAAAUGUUGCAGGUACAUCAUCCAGGCAUAAGCCCAGAAGAAGAAAUGUGGCACCUGCCAUUAUUGAUGACAUCUAUGCUGAACUGAUGCGACAUAGCGAAUUAGACGCUCAACGCGACCAACAGGUUCAAAACAUGGAAGCUCAGCAAAUCAAGAUGAUGCAAAUCCUUCUCCAGAUGCAGCAUGACCAUCAUGAUUAUGCUUUUAGGAAUUAACAUAGCAUGUCAGGUUUGAUCGAUGAGAUGACAACUUUAACAGUGCAUGUGGAAGAUCUACAAGACCAUGCCUCUUAUGUGGGUACGCCACCUCACCAGCCUGGAAAUGGUAGACGUGGAAGAACAUGUGGUAGAGGCCACCUGUAACAACUUUUCCAAGUUCUACCUUCCUUUCUUAUCUUAUGUCGUUGCAUUAGGGACAAUGCUCGAUUUAAGUAUGGGGGAGGAAGCUUUACCGCUUUUAUUUAUCGCAUUCUAGGUAAAUUUAACUAUUUUUAUUUCCUUUGUUAAAUUGUUAAAUGUUAGUUGAGUCAAAUAUCAUUGCACUGUCGAGUCUUUAUACGUGGUUUCCGUUAUUUACUGAUUCUCCCAUUUUCUUAAGCCAUACCAAACUUUUGCAAAAAUCUUGACUUAGAAAUACAAUACAUCUUUUGAAAAUUCUAAGUUAUAAAUAAAACUUAGGUUGGAUUGUAGAGAUUUGGAAAAACUUUACAAGAUUGGUACCGUUUUAACACCUUGAAUCUCCCAAGUAUAAGAUCGAUUUGAGUACUUGUCAUGCCAUAUCCUUGAAUUCUAUCCUUUAAUAUUCCUUAAGUAGUUUAUCUAGCAGUCAACAGCAUCCUAAACACACAUUAUACAAGAAGUCGAUGCAAAUAAGUGUAUGAUCUCAGGCUUAAAAGAGAAAAAGAUUGACCAAAUAAAUGAAAAGUGUUGUUCCUUCUAAGUUAGGUUACCCUCACCCGGCCAUUUAACCCAACGACACAACCAUUUUUGGUUGUUAUUUGAGUCAAAGUGCGAGAAAAAGAAUAAAAUAAAAUAAUAAUGAGAUCGUAGUCACUAACAAAUUAUCUUGCCAUGAGUGUGAAAGGAUAAUGGGCUUAAUGUGAUUGCACUAAAAUGAAAAAAAGGAUAAAAAGAAGGGUUAGUAAGGCAGACUCAGGCAUGAUAACAUGAUUAGGAUUGGUUUGUAUAAGAGGGAGACUUAUGACUGUAUGAUUGCGAGUCUGUGUUCCAACGAUACCCUUAAUGUAGAAGUUAGUACCUAUUGAUGCAAUUUCUAACUGAAGUAGAGUUUGUAGCCUAGAAUGAGUAUCUGAAUGCAAAUGUGUUUUUUUUCACGAGUCUUGAUACUAUAUGCUGCAAAAUUUUAUAAAGCUCUUUUAUUCAUAUGUGCGGCAUUUGCUUGAGGGCAAGCAAAGGUUUAAGUAUGAGGGAGUUUGAUAACGCGAAAAUAUAUCGUAUAUUUGACUUGACUUGAAUUUCUUUUUACUUAUUUUCCAUAGCAUUAUAUUGUACUUUGUGUUUAUUUCAGGUAUUUAUCGAAUAAGAAGUAUAUAUGCAAGCAAAGUAGGAAAAGAGCAAAAAGAAAAGAAAAAGGGAAGAAAAUGAAGAAAAUGGUAAUAGGUGGCGUCCACCACCACAUGGUAAGGGUGGCGCCUAUCACUAAAUAAAAAGGAUGGUGCCCACCACAAGCACAAGGUGAAGCCCACCACAAGCAUAGGUGUGGCGUCCACCACUAAGCAAGAGUGGCGCCCGUCACCAAGCAAGGUGUGGCGCCCACUACCUAGGGUUGUGGCACCCACCACCAAACCACUUCCUCCUUAUUUUUCUCCACGCCCGUUUUUCUCGGUCAACCAACCGCGUCCACUACGAGAUCUUCAAGGCUACUUUCAAGGCAAGGAUUGAGGAGUAUAUAUCAGGGUUUCGGUCUUCAAAGACCAGACCGUCUCUUUUAGCCAGAAUUUUUAUUGUUAGCAUUUUAAGUAGAUAUUUACUUGUAAAGUGAUAGAUUCUCCACAUCGGGGGACUAUUACGACUUUAAUUUUAGCAAUUGAAUUUGAUUGUAACGGUGUACCCGAUUUGCAAAGCGUGCCGACAUUAUUUCAAUUCAAGAACCAACAUUAAUUCCAGUUUUUUGAUUUAUAUUUCAGGUUCUAUUUUAAUUGAUAUUUUACUUACUUAUGCUUUGUCUUAUGUUUAAUUAUCAUAAUAUCAUGUUUGUUCUCGGAUCCAUGUCUAUCUAAACCAAUCGAUAUCGGUAUGUAAAGACCGUCAAAAUGACGGGAUUCGUUAAUAAUUGGUGUUGACUUUUAUAAAAUAUUUUUCUGGUUAUAGUUUCUUGUUUUAAAUUUAAACUGUUUUCGUACGAGAGUACAAAGCAAACAAGGGUUAUGGUCAAUAAAACGAGAGUUUGAGGUUUUAACUGGAUAGCUGAAACUAGGCAUUAAUUCUAAAUACAACGAGAGCGCUUUAGGAUUAAUUAGAAUUUAUUGAUUUCCAAAAAUUACUUUUAAUUCAAAUGAGACAGCGAGAAUGAAGCAUUCUGGUUUAAGAGUAUAGUCAGAGUCAACAACACGAGAGUGUGAGAUAAAGUCUUUUAAAUAAAUAAUUUAUACUAAAGAGUAUUUUGACAUUUAAGAUUACACCAAUUAUUCGUCGAAUCCCCGAAGUUUGAUUUGUUACAUACCGAUAUCCCGCUAUUAAAUACUUUUAUUAAAAUUCAGUUUUUGUUAGUAGUUAUUUCUCAUUGUCCCUCAACCCCUAGAGAAAUCACCAACCUUAGAUUUACGUAGUAACAUUAGAUAACGUUAAGUUCGAUUAUUAGUCCUUUGGGUUCGAUAAUCUUUAAAAAUACACGAUACGACUGUGCACUUGUAGUCACGAAUCCUAUAGACAUACUAAGUCGCGAUCAAUUUUCACCAUUGUUGGGUUUUGAGGGUUUUGGGAUCAUGAUAAAAUUGGAAAUAAUUGAUGAUUAUACUUGCUAAUUUAUAAAUAUAAGUUGUGUGACGUUAAUAUACUGAUUCUCUAUUGUUUUCUGUUCGAUUUGAGUACAUGGAAUCGAAAAUUAGAGUUCUGAUGUGAACUCCAUAACAUAAAACGUAAUUUUGCAUCCUGCCGGUCAAUGGCGGGCGCCAUGGUCAUCGCAGGUAACUUGUCAUGAGCCUUAAGUAGGCAUAAAUACGAUUUUAGUCAUAACUUGAGUUUUGGAACUCGGAUUAAGGCGCGAUUUGAAGAGUUGGAAAGAUAACACACAAAGUUACAUUAUGGUAAUGCCUUAUGAGAUGAAUUAUCAAGAUUGAAUGAUGUGUGAGUAUAUGUUGUGUUGAAUGAUUAUAAGUUGUGAUAAAUAUAUGUUGUUGUGAGAGUAUGAUGAUUGAUGGUUUAUGCAUAAUAUUGAGAUGAAUAAUCGUCAUGUUGAUUGUGUUAAAUGGGUGAAUUAACAUGUAGUAAUUGAUGUAUGAUCUACUUGGUUAAUUUUCUGAGAUACUUAGGAUGUUAGAGUCAUUAAUUGGAGUUCUGCAUUGAACUCCAUUCGAAAAGACAAAUUAUGCUAUAUGCAUGUCGAUGGCGGGCGCUGAUGCGUUGUUAAACUUGGUGUUCGCAAGUGUACGAACGCGUCAGAGUAAUAUAAAAGAUUAUCGAACCACAGAGACCAAGUGCCAAUCUAUCGUUAUCUGUUGUUAUGGUGUUUAUCAAAGGCAGUCAAAAUAGGUGUUUUUGUAGUGUGCAAUGAAAAGUAAAGUAUUGAAAAUAGAAUAUAAUUUAUAAAGACAGGGUCGAAUGUAAUUCACGUAAUCAGUUGCUAAUCCAAGUACUUGCUAAUAGAACUACUUUAAUGGGCAAUGUUUCCUACUUCUGAAAAGAACUAAUUUAACGGAAUUGUCGCUUUCCGCGUAUUCAGAACCAAGUUGUACUCCCUAAUCAAACCCUCUUAUUGUCACUUUAAAAAGGCGCGCAUUGCGUUAGAGUAGUAAACCUAUUUUUAAGAAAUAUAGUAUCUUAACUAAGUUGAAAAGUAUUAAACCUGGAUUUCUUACACAAAAGAGGUUCUUACGAACCAGACUCUAAACUUAUAAACGCGUCCGAAAAUGAUUUUUAAAAUCUCUUUUCUCCUUGAUGUUAAAAACUCCUAAUGAACUAGACAAAGCGCUUUCGCGUUUUUUGAAAUAGUUAAAACAAUUAAGUUUAUAAAGAUGUUGGACGGCUUCAAUCUUACCCAACGGAAUUGAAGUGCGGAAAACUUAAGUUGAAAGUUAAAUAGCCCUUAAGUGUUUUCUACGAACAAUUGUACGGAUUAUCGGUUUAAUUACGAUCCUUACAUUCUAACCUUUUAGAUUUAGUUAGACAUGGUAAAGUAAAAGUGCAUUAAAGUAAAUAAAAGUAGUGCGAGUGCGAGAAUUAAAUAAUUUAAGCGAGUGCGAGGAAAUAAAUAAUUUAAAGCGAGUGCGAGGAAAUAAAUAAGUAAGGCGAGUGCGGGAAUAAAUAAAGUAAAGGCGAGUGCGGAAAUAAAAUAAAGUAAAGGCGAGUGCGGGAAAUAAAUAAAGUAAAGGCGAGUGCGGGAAAAAUAAUUUAAAGCGAGUGCGGGAAAUAAAUAAAGUAAAGGCGAGUAAUGAAAACCUGCUCCAAUCGGAGGGCUGAGUAAAUUGCAUGUGGAAAGAGAAAUGGCGCAGGAUUUAACUUCCUUCCAAGUGCUCCAAACUCGAUUACAGACUCUAUCACAGCUUGAUGACACAAUUGUGGUAACACUCCAAUGCGAAGCGACUACCACUAUAAAAUACUGAAUAUAUGCCUAAGUGAAACAAAUUUGCUUCUGAGUUUGCUCUGUUCUAAGUUUGGAUGGUUGUAAAAUGAAUUCGCGUUUCUAUUUAUAGGAAAAUAAAAAGGUGGAAUUGACUUGGAUGCCCUUCAACUUGAAAUAGAGGAAACCGUUUCCUUCUGUGGCGCCCGCCACAAGGCUAUGGGCGCCGCCACAAGGCUAUGGCCCGCGCACAAGCACAAAGUGGGGCGCCUUAGUGGAUGAAGUGGGGAAACGUGGAGUUGAGGAAGUUGGACUUGGACACGUCAUGGCUUGGUCUGUGGCGCCCGCCAUGAGGUAAGCCAUAAGCACCAAAAUGCUGGAAUUUUAGGGUUUUUAGCCCUUUUUCGCUCCUUUUCUCGAUCGGGGCUCCGAUUAAAGUAAAAACCUGAAAACAAAGGAAAACACAGUAAUAACACAACAAAAUGACAAUAAAAUAACUAGAAUGCAUGUGAAAUCGGAGUCGAAAAUACGUAAAUUUUAGUGUGAUCAGGCGCCAUCAUCAUGGCGACCAGGUCGCCAUGGAUUUAGAGUCGAUGACGGGUGACAUCACUAUGGCGGAUUACUCACCAUGCACCCAGAAUGGGCGGGCGUAGUGAGCCCUGGUGCAUGGAAUUGAGUCCCAAUUUCAAUUGUUUAUGUUGUAUGAUGAAUCGAGGUGUUGUUGGGUACUGUUUGGUGUCUAUGAUUAAUUAUUGGCAGUGCUUGAUUAAUUUUAACAUGAUUAAAUGAUGAACUAUGUCAUCUAGUGCAAAUGGUGAAUGUUAUGACAAUAUUUGUUGUGAUGAACUAUUGUUGUGUGUUGAUAUAUUGCAUAUCAUGAUUUAUGUUGUUGGUAUUAUUGGUGUUGUGCACGGUCAGAAGAGGGGCCAUGUAUGCAUGUGUUUAAGUGCAUAUUGGUGAGUCAUGUAUUCAUGGUGUACGAACUUUGGUCCAGUUUUGGUGUGUUAUGGUCCGAUGUUAUGGAUCGGGAGCGAGUAACCGGUUUUGGUGGGAAUCGGUGAAGCUUUGCCUAUAGUGAUGGUAACGAACUUUGGUGUGCUCUAGCCCGGUGCUAUGGAUCCAGAGCGAGUAGUCAGUUCCGGUGGUAAUUGGUGAAGCAUUACCUACGGUGAUGGUAAUAAAUUUUGGUGUGCUCUGAUCAUAUGGUGGGGAUUGGGAACGAGUAUCUAAUUUUGGUGGGAACAUGUGAAGCAUUACCUAUGGUGAUGGUAGUAAUUUUGGUGUGCUCUAGUUCUAGAGAGGGAAUCGGGAGCGAGAUGAACCUGAGUGUUCAUAUUGUUAUCACGUGCAAUGUUGAGUCAGUUGUUGAGUAUAGUUACAUCAGUGUUGCAUUUAUGAAUGAUCAUCUGGUUAGGUGUUAUAUGAAUGAGAAUACCUGAUGUGUGGAUGUUGGUGUGAUUAGCAUGUGUACUUGUUGGUAUAAUUUGCAUAGUUGUAUAUGUAAUUAUGAUUGUGUAAUGUAUUGUUUUGGGUGUGAGAAUAUUGUUGUAAAGUGUUGUGGUGGGAGAAUGAUUAAAUGUGUAGAUGUUUGUAAUUCCACCUUGAAAUUUAUGUCGUUGAUAUUAUUGAUGUGAAUUCUCAUCCCCUUUGCUUUGAUGUUGUCCACCAUGAACAUCUUGCAGAUACUCAGGAGUAGAGUUACUGUUGUGGGUGGGAAGUAACUCUUUGAGUUAUUCUCUUUAGCUAUCACUUUUAUUUUUAGUUGUCAUGCUCUGAUUCAGUAACACUGGGGGCGAACAAUGUUUUCUUUUAUUAUGUUGGAUGUUGAAUUACAUGUGUUAUUGAGAUUUAAUAAUUGUUAUGGAGUCAUUUUAAAGUUAACAUGUUUUAUUACCAUGAUUUAUAUGACUCCGUUGUGAUGAUACCCUAAGUGAAAGUGAGCAUGCGAUGACAAGUAUAUUUUAAUGUUCUACCUUAAAUGAUAUGUGUUAUGGAAUAAGUGUUGUUUUAUGAUGACUGGCAUCCUAAACGUGCGUAUUAUGAUCAAUACUUGAAUUAUUUUAUAAUUUAUCGCAUGGGGAGUUUAGGGUGUUACAAUACUAAUCAUGCAUGUUCACCCCCGUAUCACCGUAAAAGAGACCAGAGACCAUACAAGAUAGUUAUCGUCAAUCUUUUAUCAUUUCUGAUUCCUGUGAAAGUUAUAACAUCCAUUUCUGGUUUUCGAACUAGAAUAACUUUGAAUUUUGAUUUUAUAAAAUUUAAGUUGUAUGAACAAUGUAUGUACAAUAAUGCUAUUUAAUUUCGUUAUUAGUUUUUUAUUUUAUAAAGUAAUAUAUGAAGAUUCAGAAACAAAUAAACACAUUUUUUAAUGAAAAGGUUAUGAUUUCUAGGGAAGUGACGAUGAUCAAUAAUCAUCUCUGAUCGAAUUUGGGGGUGGUAUAUGGAGGUGGGGACGAGACUGAUUAUUAUCGAUCAACCUCGCCUCGUUAUCAUACCUAACUAAGAUCUUUAAAUAAACUAAUUCAGAUGAUUCUGAUGAAUUAGUCAAAUACAAAUGUUACUAAGAAUUAAUUAUGACAACAAAAUUCAAAACCACCCCUACCCACAAAAAACCACCCAAAUUUUGGUGGAGAAACCCUGCUUUGACAAGAGAUGGGGAUGAGUUUUCCUAGAUAUCCAUAUAUUAAGGAAAGGUAAAAGUGAGACAGGGGAUGUUUAUAUCAGUCCCUCAUUAGGCAUAACAACAUAACUAGUAUUCGUGGGAACUCAUCCGAACCCGUCCCAAAUUUUACGAGAAAAUCCUGCUUUGAUUGAGUUUGUAUUCGAGUUUGUGUUUUUCACGAUUACAAAGUAUGGAGACGAGUCGGAUAAUGGGGAUAUUAGUAUCCACCACGAGCUCUCCCCGUUUAUUUUACUAUAUUUUAUUAUUUAGUUUUGAUAAUUUAAAAUAUUAAAUAUGUAGUAAAUGUUUUGAUAUUUUGAUUUGUAUUUAUUAUUUAAAAUAUUUGAAAUGUAUGUAUGAGAUUGUUUUAUUUUAUUAUAUGUAAAGUAUGAAAAAAUGAAUAUUUUUAAUAAAAGAAUUGAUUCAAUUUAGUGGAUGGUGGCGGAGCGAAAUACUUGAAUCCAACACAAAUUCGUUUGGAAUAAAUUUGAGUAUGUAUUAAUUUUACCCUUAUUUAAAUAAAAAAUAUAUUUUCAUGGUAUUUUAUUUUAUUAUUGUUUAAUAUUGAUACGUUUUUAUAUUAAUUAUAAUAAAUAUAAUAUUUUAAUUUUAUUAUUUUAUAUAUGUGGCGGAGAUAGGUGUGAGGUGACAAAAACCGACAACCAUUAAGAGUAGCGUAGCGGAUUAAAAUUUUAACAUGCUUGACCGAGAAAACCAUUGCUACAUCUACUAGAAAUUAAAUCACAAAUUAUAAAUAUUCACAAUUUACAACACAAUUUCAAAUUUUAAUAAAUUUUAAUUGAAAGAAUUCAAUCAUUAAUUAUAUAAUUGAGCAAGUAAUUCAAUUUUGAAUAAAAAAUAUAUAGUUGGAUAUUAAAUAUAAACAAAACUAACUUUUUUUAUUCUAUUUAAUAAUAUGAUUCCUAAAUAUUUUUUUUAAAUAAAUUUUAGACCUUCAAAAAAUACUCCCUCUGUCUAAAAGAAAUGUAUACAUUUAAAAAAUAAUAUUAUACUAAUAUAGUAGUAUAUAUAUAUAUAUAUAUAUAUAUAUUUUGUCUAUCAACUAUUAAUUAAUAUCAAUUACUAUAAAUACAUUAUAAAAUUUAAUAACUAAAAAUAGAGCAGAUAAUAUUAAUUAUUAUUUUCAUAAAUAAUAAUAAUAAUAAUAAUAAUAAUAAUAAUAAUAAUAAUAAUAAUAAUAAUCAUAAUAAUAAUAAUAAUAAUAAUAAUAAUAAUAAUAAUAAUAAUAAUAAUAAAACACCUCACAUGAUAGCGAAAAGUCACAAACUACACAUCUCUUACUUAAAACAAAAAAUGUCUAUAUCAAAACUCUUUGCUGUUAGUAUUUCAUAAUUGUAGAUACAUGUUUUUAUAUGUUUAUUAAGUACUUAUUUUGCAUUUAAUAAUAUCAUUCACAUGCUUUCAAGAAAAAAGUCAACAUCUCAUACAAAUUUUCUUGAUUAAUGCUACAAAUUUAUAAUGGAGAAAUAUGACACUAUUAUAUGCACAUACAUAUACACAACAAACACAUAUAUAUUGAUUAUAGAAUCAAAAUACAAACAUAGGUAAAAAAAAUAUUAAUUACUGAUUUAUAGAUGAAGUGAAGUAUCAACAUCUGAGGCAUCAAAAUUUCUUGAUGUUGAUGCUGAUGCACCUCGUGACCAUUCACUCAAAGAAGUGUUUGAUUUCAUCUUGUUCUUAUCACCUUGCUUGUUUGCCAAAUUGAGUCCAAGAGAAAGAGAAACAUGGUCAUGACUUGACCUAACCAUAAACCUUUGUUGUGUGUUUGUGUUGGUCUCUGAUGAUGACAACAACCUAAGAAGCUGUUUCUCUUCUCUUCUCUCUUUCACUUUCUCCAAUUGUCUAAACCUUUCUUGAAGAAGAGCAAUGGAAGAGUUCUUCACCAUGGUUGAAUUUGAAUUUGGAUGAUUAUCUUGCCUACCCAUUUGGAAGUAGUGACUAAAGUUUCAAUCUUUGAGAAAUUUGAGGAGAAGGGAACAUUAUAUUUUUGGUGGGUUUGGAAUGUUGUGUUUUGGAACAUUGUAUUAUGAAGAUCAUCAUUUGUAGCUGUUGAGCAUUAUUUUUUAGUAUUUUGGGACCUUCUAAUUGAUUCUUGAUGAAAGCAACAUAGAUUAGAAUCAAGUGAUGUUUGACAAAAGGACAAAGGGAAAGUUGUUGAGGUUAGUAUAGAGGAAGGAAGGGUAGGAUAUAUGUGUGGACAAAAGGACUUUUUGAAGGAGGAAAAGGGUGAGAAGUAGAGGACAAAAUGAUGAUGAAGAAAGUAAUUGGAAGAGAGUAUUUUGGAGAAUAAAUGGUUAGGUAAUUGCUUAUUUGUGCUUUGUCACUUUUAAGUCAUUAUUUUGCUUAGGAUGAGAUAGUAUAUAUUUGUUUUGGUCUUGAUGGUAUGUUGCUUCUUUUUUUUGUUUGUUAAGUUUUUAACUAUUGAAUGUGUUGUUUAUUGCCAAUCAUGUGCACCGCCAGAUCUACAAAUCUAGUUUUGAAAAUUUGAAAAAAAUAAAAAUACAAAAUAUACAUGAUUGCCUUUGAUUUGUUAAAAAAAAAUUGUAGGGGCAAAAUAGAUAGUUAGAGAGUAGAAGCACAAAAAUCUGAAUUUUAUUUGUUAAGAUAAUUUAACUAAUGACUUUGCGGAAAUAUGAGAUAAGAGUGCAGAUUCGAAAUAUCAUAUUCUACUUAUUUAUUUUUAAAUGGUAAAUUUUAGUCAUUAAAUUAUUUUUCAAAAUAAUACUAUUUUUUUUAAAUUACUUAAAAACAUUUCAUCUUUCUAUCUGCAUGUCUAUCUUUCCAUUAAAAAAUUUCUUGUUGUCAUUUUUUUAAAAAUUUUAAAUGUGUCGUUAAUGUUAUGGAGCUUGGAUGGAAGAGACAAAAGGAAUUGGCGAGGAAUAAUUUUGGAAUUUGCUAUCAAUCAUUAAUAAGUCAUUAGUGUCAAUCAAAGAAAAGAAAGAGAAAGAACUCAAUGUGUGACUAUAUGAUUUGUGCAAUUAUAUUCUUUAUCUAGACCAACUAUAUAUCUUUAAAAUGGAAAAGACACUCUAUUUGUGGCUAUCACUUUCUUUUAAUUUAUGAAACUAAAUUUUGGAGAAGGUCGAACUUAGGCGCUUGCCACCUAUGCCACAACAAUUUUGUUAAUAAAAUUUGUCAAACAUAAAUAUACGUUAUGUUCUUUUUGGAACAAUAGAAUGUCGAAACUUAAUGAAAAGAUAUUACAUAGAAAUCAAUUUAGAAGAAUAGACUCUAAUACAAUCAACUAAUAAAAAGGAGAGAUUUUAACAAAAACUUGCUUAUAAAACAUCAAAAUAGGAUUUAGAUCACAUUCCAUGUUGAGAAGUGUAUAUGUGAAAGAAUUUGACUCACGGUAAAUAUGAAAAAUCCACACCCUCCAAUCUAGCUUGACAAAUUAUUAAUUUUGUUGUGCCAACCACAUUCUAAUUAUACUAUCCUGUCCAUGAUGCAAAAUAUUUUGAACAACUUCUUUGGAAUCUAUAUAUAGCGCAAUAGCUCGAACUCAAACUCUUUUGUUAAUCUUAGUCCUUCUAGCACAUCCAAAAGUUCAACAAUAUAUAUGCACUACAAGAAUCUAAAUAUCUUACAAAACCUUCAAGUCACUCACCCGUACAACCUCUUAAAUAACCACCACAUUCAACUUUCAAGUUAUUCUUACUAGCUUUAUCCGUGUUCAAUCUCACCUAACCCAAAGGAGGAGGAGUCCACCUUAUUUUCUUAGCCUCUCAAAUCAACUUUAUUUUACUACCAUGUAGCUCCGCUACCCAAGAAAAUACUCAUGAGCAACUUUAGUAACAUGCCGCCAUAUAAUUCUAGGUCUCCAAAACAAUUUCAUCACGUCGUUCCUUAUUCUUCCAUAUCCAAAGUGCAGGGAAAGAGGUUGCUCAAAGUUUCAACCACGACGAAUCUCCACUAAUACCAAAAUCCAAACGCAAAUAAGUAUCCAACCACUACUUAAUAUUACUAGUGAAAAAAUAAUCUCUCAUAUUCAACUUAACCACAUUAGUCCAAAUAACAAAUGGUAAAUGACAAUCACAUAAGACAUGUAUAAUGGGUUCCACUUAUGUCCCAUAGUGACUACAAAAAGGUCCUCUUAAUUGCAUUUUAUUUUCUAUCUCAUUGGUCAUUAUCCUACCAUGAUACACAUACUAAAUAAAGGACCUUAUUCGUUCAGAUACUUUAAGCUUCCAUAUCGACCUCCAACUAUCCUCAAUAUUUUGCCUACCAAAAUUAGUCAUUAAUUUAUAACUUGAUGAAACAAUAUACUCAACUUUUUUAUCGUUUGGCCAACAACAAAUAUAUCUUAAACUAUUACCAUCAAGAGGGAGAAUAGCUAGAAUUUUAGUUACCAUAUUUUUGGGAAACAUAUGCUUUAAAAUAUCCAUAUUCUACUUAUCAUUUUGAUCUAAUAUGUCCUCUAAAUUGUGAUAAGAAGUUGUAUUAACACCAAUUGUAUUAAUAUUCAUCAACUUCAUACACGGUUCAACUCAACAAUGAGACCAAACAUCUGUAUUGGCAAUAUCUCUUAUAGAUAAAUAUGCAAAUUGAGCAAACUUAGGCCAUAAGUUACCAAGAUUCUUCCACAAACUUGAAUCAUUUGCCUUAAUAAUCACAUCCUUAUAAUCAACAUUGUUCUUCAUAUAUUCGCCCCACAUAAAUUCAAAACAAAGAGAUUGUUCAUUACCAUGAAUAGCCCAACUAAGCUUCAAAAGACAAAAAUUAUUCAUAACAUCCAAUCGUCUAAUACUUAACCCUCUUAAGAACUUUGGCAACAUCAUUACAUCUUACUUCACCGAAUGAACUCUUCUAUGCUCCUCGCUAUCACCCUAGAUAAAACAAAACUAUAACUUUUGAAUCUCAUGCAAACAAGCUGUAUAAAUGCUAGUAGUCAUCAUAAUAUAGGUUGGAAGAGCUUCAAUAACAACUUUAGAGAUAUUUACCCGACCUGCAAAAGAAAGAUGUCAAGUUUUUCAAAUGACAAACUUUGACUUAACUUGCUUUAGGAUAUAAUUAAAAUCAGAUCUUCUUGGUGCACUUCUAACGAGAGGGACACCCAACUAUUUUCCAAGUGAUUGUGUUUUACAGAAGCCAGACAUAACAUCCAAUUUACGACGAAUAGACACAUGAGUGUCUCUAUAAAAAAAAAUGCUUGUGUUUACCAAUAAUCACUUGCUAACCAAACAAAAGGAAACAUUGAUUAACAAUACCGAGCAUAUUGAAUUUAAACCCAUGUAGCUUGACAAAAAAAUAUAAGAUCAUCUACAAAUAUCAAGCGAGAUAUGAAAGGACAAUUUCUACCCGCCUUCAUAGUUUUCCAAAAGUGUUGCUCCACACAAUGAGAAAUAAGAUGAGACAAUUUAUCAAUGCAAGCAACUAAGAGGUACUAAGAAAUAGGGUCUCCUUGUCUGAUACCUAUUUCCAAGUUUGCAACCGUUUUAUCGGUUAGAACAAGAUUUGAUUCUGCAUCAGACCUUUAAUUUUAAUGAUAACAAUGCAUUGUUUCUUAGAGAAUAAUUUUGUACACUAAUGAUUCUCAUCUAGUGUGUAGUUUUUAAUAACAUGUUUUGACUCUGAAGUAAUGACAUGUGACAUUAUCAGAUUCUGGAAUCAACACACUCUGACUCCGAGAAGAUUCAAGUUCUUUACAAGAUGUUGUCAAGUUCUAUAAAGCUCUUAGACAACGGUUGUAAGGAACGUUCAUGUUAAAGCUUCUGAAUGUGACUAUGAUUGAAGAGCCUCCGAAGGUUUGUUUGUCUUAAAGAUUAUGUGCUCAAAUUUUGAAGAUUUUGAAGAACAAGAUCUGAAGACUCUGAAGACCAGGUUCUGAGGAACUCUGUCAAGACUUUGAAGACCAAAGUUCUGAAGAUUAUGUCAACUUGUCUCUUGAUCCUUCUAAGCAUGCUUCAACAUCAUUUCAUUAUAAGCCUAUGAAGAUUAGAAGAUAAGAUCAAAAGGUUUUGCGUCAGGAAAAUAGUACACAAUACAAGAUCGCCAUUUCCUCCACUACUAUGAUUUUUUGGGCUAAGGACAAUAUUAUUGUACCAUUUUGUCUCACAUGUGCAAACCGUAAUGAAAAGAGACAACUGCAAUUCAAUAUUUCAAUUCUACCCUCCAACGGUUCUUUUAUAUGCCUAUAUAAAGGAUACUUGAAGAUUGGAAGAAUCUGCUAAUUCACUGCACUCAUAACAACACUACUACACACGCUCUUGUUGAAAUCAUAUUAUUUCUGAGUAUAGUUUUUGUAAAUACACAAGAGUUUUUACUCGUUAUUGUGUGAGAAAUAUUUGUAUUAACUUGUUAUAUAUUAAUAUAAAUAUAUUAUUAAUAUUUAUAAAUUAUGAAUUUUUAAUAAAAAAUUAUAUUUAAACAUAAAUUCAUAGUAUUUUUUCAUGGAUUUCAGAUCAACUGUUUUUUUGUCAAUAAUAUAUAUAUAUAUUAUAUAUAUAUAUAUAUAUAUAUAUAAUUUUUUGUAGUAUACUAUAGUGUUUAUUAAUGUUAUGUAAAAAUAUAUAGUAUACUAAGGUAAGUAAGUAAUUAAUAUUCAUAAAUUAAUUAUAUAACAGAAAAUAAACUAAAUUUAUUAUAUAUCUUUUUGGUUAUCAAAAUCACUGAAUUUGUAGUGACGUGCAACAAUUGUGACCCAGAAACCGCAACAGUGAUUGUGAUGAUGAAACAAUAUAAAAUUCAAGGCGACCGUUCAAUAGUGUUCAUUUUGUAGUAAUGCGCAAGUCUGGCAUUAACAUCUCUCCUACCAUCAAUUUGGUUCAAUUCAUCUAAAAUAAUAUACACUAAUAAAUAGAAGUAUAAGAGGAUCAUAAUAUAGUAGUGAUAUCAAGAUGGAUUUCUACAAUGGAAACGUUGAUGAACGAUCUAUACGGUGGAAUCAGAAAAUUUUGUGUUGGAAGACUCAAAGAAUAUGAUUUGCUAACAAAAUCUCUUUAUGGACUAAAACAUGUGUCUCGUUAGUGAUACCACAAGUUUCAUGAAGUAACUCUCCUAUUUAGCUUUGAGGUGAAUCUUGUUGAAGAUUGUACGUAUUACAAAUUUAGUGGGAGGAAGUAUAUUUUCUUAGUCCUAUAUGUUAAUGACAUAUUGCUUACCUCCAAUGAUAUAGACAUGAUGUACGAAAUCAAGAAAUUUCUAUCAAGAACAUUCAAAAUAAAAGAUCUUGGUGAUACCUCUUUUGUAUUAGGAAUUCAAAUACAUCGAGACCGAUCUCGAGGUAUUCUCGGAUUAUCACAAAUGAUAUAUAUCGAAAAGCUACUUAAAAGGUUUGGCAUGCAAGAAUGUAAAUUAGGGGAUACUCCAAUGGCUAAGGAAGUCAAAUUCCGUCUCAGUUAGUGUCCAAAAGGAAACUUAGAAAUUCAAGAAAUGCAAAAGAUUCUUUAUGUGUCAGCUGUAGGGAGUCUGAUGUAUGAUUAAGUGUGUACGCGUCCGAAUAUUGUGUUCAUAGUUGGGAUGUUAGGCAGAUAUUUGAGCAAUUCAGGAAUGGAUCAUUAGAAAGCGGCCAAAAAUGUUAUGAGGUAUUUAAAGAGAACAAAAAACUAUAUGCUCACAUAUAUGAGGUCAUACCUCCUAGAGAUCACUAGACACUCUGGCUCAGAUUUUGCUAGAUGCUAAAAUAGUAAAAGAUCCACUUCAGGCUAUAUCUACAUGUUGGUUGGUGGUGCAAUUUCUUGGCGUAGUGCUAAGAAAAUCCUUACGGCUUCAUCCACCAUGGCAACAUAGUUUAUAACAUGUUAUGAGGCUCCCAACCAUGGGAUUUGGCUGAGGAAUCUUGUCAUUGGACUGCAAAUUAUGGAAGGAAUUGAAAGACCACUUAAGUUAUACUAUGACAACAAAUCAACCGUCAUGUAUUCUAACAAUAAUAGUAGCUCCACCAAGUCCAAACAUAUUGACAUCAAGUUUCUAAUUGUUAAAGAAUGGGUACAAAGUGAACAGAUUUCUAUAAAACAAUUGGGUACAAACUCCAUGAUAGUAGAUCCUCUUACAAAAGGUCUCCAUCCAAGGUCUUUCAUGAGCACAUUGCUCACAUAAGUGUUUUAUCGGUAGAGGAUGACACUGACGUCAGCGAAAAAGUUUGAAGAGUGUCGAAAAUACUUUUAAAAAAUGUCACCUUUCUUUUUUGGAUUCAAAAUCGAAAUAUGACAUUUUGGGGAGCAAUUUGUUACCUCAGAUUUUCGAGACAAGCAUUAAUUAUUAAAAAUGAGAUAAGUUUUACGUGAUAAUGAGUUUAUUGCUAAAAAUCAAAGUGGUCAGUUACGAUCAUGGAAAGCUUGACGAAUUUGAUUUAUCGAGAAACAUGUAUCAACUUUGGCCGUAUUGUAAUCAGUCAGAGACCAUGAAGUUUAUUAGUUUUAGGACUUAGUGAAAUUCAGAGUACCCAAAUAUUUUUUCUAAGCAGUCGAAUGAGGUGUAAGAGGAUAAGAUCAGACAACUAUUUGAGGACACAUGGGAGCCUGUCAAAGACGGAGGCUGCAUGUAAACGAAAAUGUGGUAUAUUUUGCUUUGUCGACCGUUGUAGACGGUUAACUUAGGACUAAUAUAUAAGUAAGCAUUCACUUAUAUUUUAGGAGUCCGCAAGUGGUAUGAUAGUACUUUGAGUGUAGAAAAGAAAGUCAAUUGGAAGACUUGGUGGAGAUUCUCUUGUUGGUCAAGUCUCUGCCUGAGGUAGAAGACACAUUUGUUUGGUGGAAAGGUUGUCAUAGUUUUUAAGUUAACGGUAGUUAUAAUUUCUUGUUAAAAUUAUACAAUGAGGAGAUUCAUCUGGAAGAAGUGAGAGAGGUCCCAAGCAAGGUUCAAUCUUUGAGCUGGAGGCUCUUGCUCAAUCGACUCCCAACUAAGAUUCAACUUGCAAGAAGAGAGGUUCUUGAAGAUAGUCACAACUUGGUGCACCCUUUAUGCUUAAUUAAAGAAUAAGAUGAAACUCAUAUUUUCAUGGGUUGCUUAGUAAAUAAGUUUGUUUAGAAGAAGGUUAACGACUAUAUCGAAAUUGCAAAAGUGAAAGAAGCAUAACAUUAUUUCUUCCCAUUUAGUCCAAUUUUGCUCAUUGAUCAAAAAAGAAUUUUUUAGAAAAAUUUAAUUGCUUAUUUUGGUCGGUUGUUUUGUUGGAUUCUUUGAUCUUGUAUAAAUAAUAUUUUAUUUAAAAGAGCUCUCUUGUAUGAGUGGACACUGGUAGGAGUAUCAAGCUUCUAUAAUAUGAAUGAUCUCAAGUCAAUUUCAAAAGUUCUCUUUGUUGGGUUAAAUGGUAUAUUAAUCUAAGUCCCACAUCGGGUAGUAGGAAGAAAAUAGAAAUUGAGUAUUAAUAUAAAUAGAGAUAGUUGAUUUUAGUUUUCUAUCAACAACAAAAUGUAGUCUUUCGGUGUGUAUUGAGGAUUUGGGUAGUUGUGUGUUUAUGGAGGGUUUUCUAUUCAAAAAUAGUCCGUUGAGAGGGUUUUUAUUUUUUCGUUCAAAAAAUAGUUUGUUGAGUAAAAAUUACAAGUUUAAUUUUUGCUUAUUUUUCUUUUUUGUGGGUAUAUUUUUGCAUGCGUAAAAAAAUUCUGAUCAAGGGAGGAAGAAGAUAAAAAAAAACUGAAGAGUAUAAAUAAAGAUAGUUUAUUUUAGUUUUCUACACAACAAUCAAAUGCAGUCUUUUAAGUGUAUUUGAAGAUUUUGGUAGUUGUGUGUUUAGAGAGGGUUUUUUAUUUUUCUUUUCAAAAAUUAUUUGUUAAGAGGGUUUUUUUAUUUUUUCUUUCAAAAAUAGUUUGUUGAGAGGGUUUGCAAUUUUCCAUCCCAAAAUUAUAGUUGAGAGAAGAUUUGCAAUUUUUUCGUCCAAAAAUUGUAAUGGAGAGAGGGCUUAUAAUUUUUCCGUUCAAAAAUUGUAAAUGAGAGAGGGUUUGUAAAUUUCUCCUUAAAAAUUGCAAUUGUAUGAGAGAGUUUAUAAUUUUGUCAUUGUAAAAAUUACAAGUUGAAUUAUGAUUUUAAGAGUUUUUGCUUUUUUUUGUCGGUAUGCUUUUGCGUGCGUAAUUAGGCGGAUUAGAAAUCCAAUUUGGGGAGUUGUUUAUCUUGCAAGUUUAUCUCCUAUCUUUCUAUUUCUAUUGUGGAUGUAUCUCUUAGGUGUUGUCCCUAAAAUAAGGGUUGAACACCCUUUAUACUCUUUUUUAGUAGAAAUCAAUAUCCUCAUCGCGCAACUGCAUAUAUUAAUCUCUCGAGCUGAAUAUUAAUCUCUCGAGUCGAGGAAGACCACAACAAACGAUAAAACUCUCCCUCAAGAGAUUUAACAUUGUUGCGUGUCCAAUGUGUCCAAUGUUGAGUUUGAACCAAAAAUCUCUUGUUUAACUAAAAGAGACCAUUAUCAUGUCAUUCAAAUUCUCUUGCAUACCCUUUUAUUCCUUUUAAUUCAAUUCUCCUUCGCUUAUAAAAAACACUUUCUCUUUCUCUUGAAUAAUUUACCCUAAUAUAUUGCCCACACUUCAUAUUUAUUUUCUCAUUCUUUGUGUGAAUAAUGACUAAGUUGGUCAUAUAUAUAUAUUUCCCGACAACAAUGUAUAAUUCAUUCAUUAAAAGACAAAAGGUUAGUACAAAUGAUAUAAGCUAAAGAUUCAUAGACCUUUCCUACUAGACUAUGCGCAGCCUAUUUUACAAAGACUAUGACAACAAUAUUCAGACACAAUGCAACUAAGUUAGAUUCAAUUAUUGCGAGAAUUACUUGUCAAAUUGAUUAACUCCCCUGUAAAAUGUGAGACAGCAACAGCUAUGACACUUGUCAAGUCUCAAAACUCUUCUGAAUUUUUACAAAUAUCCUUUAGAUUUUAGGAUCUGGAUCUUGUUUUUGAAUCCCGACGUUGUGUGAAUCACUAAUGAACAUUAAAAUAAACAUUCGGUUAAAUCAAAUUAUGAAUCAACAUUAGUGAAAAUACAUCUAUAUAAAUUUAAAACAUCAAUGAAUCUAACUGAUCGUUCAAAUCACAAUAACAUUAACAUUAACAUUAAUUCUAAACAAGUGAAAGUCUGCUGCUUGUAAUAAAUUGUAGUUAGAUAGGAGUUUAUUUUUAUUCACUACAACAAACAAGACCUUAGACAGCGCUUUUUUUAGCCUUAGACAGCGCUUUAAAGCGCUGUCUAAACCUCCGCUGUUAAAGGUUUAGACAGCGCUUUUUUAAAUCUUAAAAGCGCUGUCUAAGCCCCCCCCCUUAGACAGCGCUUUGGCCAAAAGCGCUUUAAGACCCUCUUAUUUUAAAUUUUUAGGUAUACCUUAGACAGCGCUUUUGAAAAGCGCUGUCUAAGCCCCACCCCCUUAGACAGCGCUUUGGCCAAAAGCGCUUUCUAAGACCCUCCUAUUUAAUUUUUUUAGGUAUACCUUAGACAACGCUUUUCAAAAGCGCUGUCUAAGCCCCCCCCUUAGACAGCGCUUUUGCCUAAAGCGCUUUCUAAUCCCCCUUAGACAGCGCUUUUACAAAAGCGCUGUCUAAGGUAUACGAAAAUUUUUGAAGCUUUUGUUUUAAACCGCAUUUUUUCCAGGUUUAUAACCAGAAUUUCUACCUGUUUCAACCAGAUUUUGACAGACAAUUAUCACAUUUUAUAUAUGCCAUUUUGACCUUUUUUCUACCAAUUUUGGCUAACAAAUAUAUAUAUAUAUACCAAUUCAAACCAAUACAAAAUUACUAAUAUAUUAAAACUACAAAAAUAACUCUAAUCAAAACUACUAAAGUUACAGUAACUAGAUGCACUGUGGUUGCCUCGUUUAUAUCAUUUAAUUCUACCAUCGCAUGCAUGCAUGUCGCAUCCUGCGAAAAAUCAACCGGCGAGCUAAAAUAAAAACACACAGAGCCGCCACUGCGCGGUUAUUUAUCCCUGGAUAGGGAAAGGAAACGCUCAGAGAAACCUGGAAAGAACAUGGUCUCGCGACCAAAGAGAAAGGGUAAGGGAGUCGGUUACGCAAGGGGAAGGUAUUAGCACCCUCACGUCCGUCGUACUCGACGGGAUCCACGUCCUAGAAUAAAGAAUAGGUGCAAACAUCACACACACACACGGGGAACGCAGGUGGGUUUAGGAGAAGGGAGCUCGAUAAGGUAUCGCACCUUAUGCCUACAUAUCUUGUCUGGAACAAGAAUCAGAGCCACUGUAGUUCGGCUUACGCACGCCAAACAACACAAAACACACAAACAGACAAGGGGGCAAACAUGGAGCCCGACAACCACUGGAUGGAAUUACGUCAGCAUCCGAACCAAAACGCACUCAAAAGGGCAAACGUGGAGCCCGACUGCCAAUCACUGGCUUACGUCGGCAUCCGAACCAAAACACACAAUCAGAUAACAAGUAAACGCACGCAAAAGAAAAGGUUGCCCGGAGAGGUCUCGCACGACCCCCUGCCCUACAUACCUCGUCUGGAACGAGGAUCAGGGCGAUGUAGUUCCCCUGAAAGGGAAAAAGAUUUCAGCCAAAAACCGGGGGAAGACGCACUACCAGGGAGCUGGACUCGAGCCUAGUGUUGUCAUGCAUCGUUACCUAAGUUCAGUUUUCUAUCCUACUUACAUAAGCAAACUAUUCCUAUCCAGGAAAGAAGCAAGCACACAAGCAUACAAAAUAAUUCAAGCAUACAUCAAAUGAGAACAAGCAUCUCAAACAAGCAUGUCAAUCAGAUAUCCACAUAGCACGCACUAUAAACCAAACAAGUGGCUCACACAAUAGGUUGACUGCCUCAGCAAGUCGUCUGUACGGGCUGUGUGUGCUCUUAACCUUGCAUUACGAGGCUAAGGUGAACAGAUGAAAGGAUGAAGUGAGGAUCAGACCUCACAGCUCUUAUCCCUAACCAGGGAGAGCUUCUGACAAAUGAGCAUGGGUCCAGAAUGGGGGAACCCUUCUAUACCAGAGACUCUGGCACAAUGUGCACUGCACGGAUCUUGGGCUUGUAAUCUCAAUGCUACAACCAUGUAAUGGGAGCAGGAGAAGACUCACAGAAUAGUGGGGGAUAGAUUGCUUAUCCUAACUUCCACCAAUUCCUUAUUUAAAGGACUUUCACCUGCUUGGCACGAAAUAAAACAACCACAAUCAUUGCCUCUUAAGGAGGACUUCAGACAGUUUGCCCGUCAAAUAACAGACCGGGUCUCCAGACUACAGAAGUCAAGAGGACCUACCUCAAGCGCGUUUACCCAACCAGCAGCAGCUACCAAGCAAGUUCUUAAAAGAACUAGAAGCGGCUAAAGGUACCUGUACAAAAAGCUAACCAAUUAGCAACUCAGACAAACAGUCAGAAAACAACAAGUGUUCAACCAAUCAGACUAUACAAACUAAUGCACAACAAAGCAAGCUCAAAAACUCAAGCCCAAGCUUCACAACCUACAAAACAAAGUUAUGUUUAGUGUACAAACAUCAAACAACAUCAAUUGCAUUUAACUUGAUUCAUUCUCCAUGUGCAUUGGCUAUUCAUCCUGAAAAAUCAAGCAAACAUUAGCAACAGACCACUAGGCCAAGCUAGGGUCCAAAGGCAAGAAAAAUUCCUAAACAGCAAGGUAUCUCUAACCAAACUCAAAUUAUGUCAAACAAAAGCCAACACAAUUAAUCCCAUGGCCUAUCAUUCAUCAUGUUCAUUUUAUGCACAAAACAAAUCAAACUAGUUCAAAUGGAACACAAAACAUCCAAACAGAAACUAUUGCAUUCAAAUCCAUAUCAAAACAAAUCAAAAAAAUCUCCAAUAAAUUACACCUAAACAGGGUCUAUUCAAGGUAUGGCACACCAAAUUUCAGCUUAAUUGGGCAAAGGAACACCAUUGUCAAUGAAAAUCAACAAAAACGACACAAUUAUAUGCUCCAAAUCACAACAUCAACACAUGCUUCCAUUUCAAAAUUCAUAACUCAAUGAAAACAGUAAAGAAAAGGAUGGGACCAAAGCAGGAUGUCACAUCAUGUGUCUACAACUAUCAUACCAAAUUCAUAAAGCAUUCAACCACCAUAUGAGCAUGUUUCCACAAGGAUAUUUCAAACACAUGUCACACAAGCUGCACAUUGACCAACAGAGAUGAAAAAUAGCAAUCCAAAUUGAAAAUGCCACAUCUCUNNNNNNNNNNNNNNNNNNNNNNNNNCAGUAACUAUUUGCCAUUCAAAUCCAUAUCAAAACAAAUCCAAAAAAAUCUCAAAAAAAUUACACCUAAACGGGGUCUAUUCAAGGUAUGCACACCAAAUUUCAGCUUAAUUGGGCAAAGGAAACCAUGUCAAUGAAAAUCAACAAAAACAGACACAAUUAUAUGCUCCAAAUCACAACAUCAACACAUGCUUCCAUUUCAAAAAUUCAUAACUCAAUGAAAACAGUAAAGAAAUGGAUGGGACCAAAGCAGUGAUGUCACAUCAUGUGUCUACAACUAUCAUACCAAAUUUCAAAAGCAUUCAACACCAUAUGAGCAUUCAAAGGAUAUUUCAAACACAUGUCACACAAGCUUGCACAUUUGACCAACAGAGAUGAAAAAUAGCAAUCAAAUUGAAAAUGCCACAUAAAAUUCCACAAAAAUUCACAUAGCAUCUUAACAUGUUAAUGAACAUCCAUGCAAAAUUCACAUCAUUUCACCAAGUAUAGGUCACUCAAAUAAAUCCAGCAAGUUGACAUAAUGAGGUGUGACCACAGUUGUCACACCUAAGUUCCAAAAUUCAUAACUCAAUGACCAGGUAUCAAAAUUCAUGAAAUUACAUGGAAAAAGCCUCAACCAGUCCACAUUUACCACAAAAAAAUUUUCAGAAUUUAUUGUAGCUGAGAAUUUCACAUUUGGAUUUGGCACAAUAUCCAAAAUGUGCAAUGUUAAAGAAACCCAGGUCAAACAUAAUGUUCUACCAGCACAACUUAACCAAUAGGUCAAAAAAAUCGUAGAGUCAAAAAGGAAGUCAAAAGAAAAAAUGGCCUAUGAUUUUAUGAAUUUUCUAUGAAUUUUUGGUGAAUUUUCUAAGUCAGGGUGAUUUUUUAACAAUUGAGAUUAAUUAGAAAUUGGAAUUUACAAUGGCAGAGUGGUAAUACAGUGCGCGGGGGAGGGAAACCCUAAUCAAAAAUUUCCCCAAACCAGAUUUGGGAUCAAACAUCACUCUCCUUGUCAAUAAUUUUGUCCAGAAAUUACUAAGAACCGCAUGAACACGCGAAAUCCAAACGACACGCAAAAAUGAGCAUGCGAAUAACCGAUAGGACCGUGGCUGAACAUGUAGAAGCUAAUAGAGCUUAUUAAGCCUAACCUGUUCCUCUAUUUUUCUCCAAUCGAUCGGACCUAGGCGUUGUUGUCCUUAGAAACUGCAAAUCAGGAUAACUUCCCUCAGGUUAUCAUUUCACAAACCAAUCAUACCACCAUAUCUACAGUCCACGAAACUGAUAAACCGGCAUGGAUAAUUAAAGAAACGGUAAAACUGCGAAUUCUGACCUUGAUCUUUGAAAGACAUGUGUUGAUUUUGAGUUUCAGUCGUUUUGAUCCAAAACAGCAGCAGGACAGCUCCAGGGAAGUGAAUGCUAGCCUCAGGGCUGAAUCGAUGUUCUAUCCUCCUAGCGCGCAAACUGAUUCACCAUUGAUGAUGCAAUUGUUGGAACAGUGUACGGAUUUACCACGGUCCGUUUCCGUUCCAAUCUCACCCAUCAAAAAGAUUGAGAUGAUCUGAUGAGAGGAGUUCAAAUUAAAAAGAAAUCGCAGAUGUGACAAGGAUUUGGAGGAAGAGUGGUAGUUUUAGGGUUUGGGUGUUAUUGAGGAAUUUUGAUGAGAAUAGAAGCGUUGUCAGAUCUGGGUUUUGGAAUGGGGUAAUUCUGUGAAUUAGAUGAUGAAUUAGGAAUAGAUAUCCCUUGCUUAAUCCCAGCUUAAUUACACCAGUAACCAAAUGGAAAUUGAUGAGUGACAAUGGUUUCAAUUUCUCAAAGCAAAGGUGCAAAAGUGUAACAUGCAUAUGCCAGCUCAUUGCCCCGUAUGGACAGCGCACACACUCUCAAAAUGGACAGUGUGAGCUGUGGCAAACUUGUUUCACUACCUCCAUUUGGGAUGAGUAUUGUUUGGGAAAAUUUCACUAUUGUGAUGGUCACUUUGUCCAUUUUUGCAUUUCAUUUUAAGUCCAAUUGCCAAACCACAAGGCCUAGGCAGGUUAAGGAUGAAGUUCCAACAAAAGUUCACAAUACAUUUAUGAGGUGUGUGCAAAAAAUCCCACUCAAAAAGUCUCAAUUAUUUCACAAGUUGGACAAUUGGGCCCCUGGUCAUUAACUGGUUACAGUGAAAUUUGACAUUUUUGCAUGUGACCAUUUUUGCGACAAACCAAUUCACCUGCACCAUGAACAGUACCAAAUGGGUCUAAAUGAGUCGUGCUGGCAUAUAAAGUAACCCCAUGAAUGCAAACCUAAGGACCAAACACAUGGUGGAGAGUUAAUGGGGGACACCGGUACCUUGCAAUUGGGUCAUUUUUGAAUUGUUCACGAGCCAUAAUGAUCCAACCAUACAUGGGAUUUUCAAGUUCUUGGACUUUUUGGAAAGGUGAGAACAAGAUCUACAACUUUCAUGUUGAACAAUUUUCAUUUGAAGCUUCCUUAGACACGUGGCUUUGAGGUCCAAAACUUUCCAUUUUUUGGAAACUUCAAUUACAAGGCACUUUUCUAUUUUUGUGUAGUUCGUGUCCUGACUUGAUGUUCUUCAUUUUAAGCUUUGAGAUUCAUAUAACACUGUUCCAACAUGAAUGAAGUGUAUCCAACUCAUGUUCACCUCCAAAUCCAUCAAAUCAUGAACAGUUGACCACAGUUGACUUUUUCAUCUGAUAGAUGAAUUGGGCAUACAUAGAUCAAUCUGAGCCCCAAUCUUCAACUGAAAUGGCUCAAGGGUGAAACCCUAGCCUCAAUAAGCUCAAAAUAAUCAUAGAAUGAACCCCAUAACCAUCACAAACCCCAUCUCCUGAUCAUGCCCGGCUGGCCCACUGCCAACUGAUAGGGUUGACCAGUGGUCAAAACCCUAAUCUCAAGGGAUCUGCUUCAACACUUGAUUCUUCUGAUGAUAACCAACCAUGAUGAUGAUGAUGUAUCAUUGCAAUCAAGAUGAAGACCACCAUCCAUUGAGAAUCAUGAAACCCUAAUUUGUAGCCCAAUCCUCAGAUGGCCAAUGAUCAGUCAAUAAACCCUAGGCUUGCCUUGACUUCCUCAUCUUCUGAUAAGAUUGAGAGGAUAGCUUGCACAACGUAACCACAUGAUAUGCCAAUAUGAAAUUCCUAAUGACCUAAAAAUGUAUGCAAUAUGUUAAUACUAGUCCCAAGAGAGGAGGGCAAAUUUUGAGGUGUUACAAUGCAUAUCUAAACAAGGCAGGGGUUGCUAUCGUUCUGUAAUACUUUAUAAAUAAUUAAGAAACUGAAUUGUUUUUUUUUUUACUGGAUUGUUCUUCAGCAGGUGCUGUUAUGCAUAUAACUAACUGUCUACGUCAAUGACACAUCUCACACGAGCAUUCUAAAAGAUAUUAAAUUAUAUAUGAAGAUGAAUUCAAAACAGGUAACCAGGACAAUUCCUCUUUAUUAAUUCUCAAUGCAUACGAUAUGGUCAUCUAUUUCUUCCUCUGGUGGGGCAUCAGAUAUGUCUGCAAUCUUAUGAAUACAAAAAUCAAAAUCUGAGAACCUAAGCGCUUCUCAUUCAGAUAUUAAUUGUAUACUUGUUCCAUGAUUCCAUGAUGAUGAUGGUAAAGACGACUUUAAUCCAUAUAGACUCAAUAUAUCUCUUUCUAAUUUUGUAUUUUUGAGAAUCCUUUUUUGAUGGUUAUCAAUAUAAAAACUAUUAUGAAAAAAAUAGUUUUUCAUGUAGAAUAACAUGUGUGACUUCCGUCAAAUUCCACUAUUUUUAUGUUAAUGAUACCUUUACAAUACAUAUUUUCCUUUAGAAAUGUAUUUAUACCCUCUCGCAAUAACACAUUUUUCACUUUAAAUCACUUCAGAUGAGUUAUAUUUUAUCUAUUUAUUAUUGUGACACACCACAAAAAUUGUUAUAAGAAAAUUCCAAAACCUAUAAAAAACUAAUGGUACAUAAAUCGAUUAAAUGAAUGACUCUGUACCAAUUAUUAGGACAAGAUGGAGGAGAAAUUUCAAUUGCUAAAUCAUUUUCUUCGGGUUUCUACACUUGGCCACCCUUAUCAGCUUGCAAUUGACAAACUCAGCCAAUAUCUUGAUAUCUUCAUCUUCCAAACGAGCUCCAAUGUACACUGCCCUCGAGGCAUGCAUUCUUUUACCAAAUCCCUGCAUGAAAAUUGAAGCCCUAAACAUAAACUAUGAAGAAUGAAGAAUAAAUCAUAAAGAAAAAGCUAAUUUUCUAAAUUCUCAAGUCUAUACAAUUACAAUAUAUCUCAUCGCAUUCUUCCUUGCCAUAGUAUGUGACGCGGUAGAUUCUUCUUCUGUAUCAACUCCAUUUCUGUACAGCAACAUCAGAAGAAAGAAACAUUGAUUCACGCCUUCACUUUAGGGCAGAGAGCAAUUCACAAUGAGAGUUCUGAGGUUCUUUACCUUUGUAAAUCCUUGUGUGAUAGAUGUUGAUCCCUGUUAGAAAAUAAAAAUCAAUUUUGUGUUUGCUAGAACAUAAGAAAAGUUAUGUGAAGAGGAUGAUAUGCUUACUGGUUGUAUAAAUGUUUUCCACCUGCAUCGUGACAUCCAAUACAUGUUUGACGGAAACAAUGAGGCUCCUCUUAGGAUAUCUAGGGUUUGGGCACUUGAAACUGUAGAACAAGAAAAGUGAUUGGCAAUUUGGAUGGGAGCGAGUAGUGCAAUUUGAAUAGAGACGCAGGGGCAAUUUAGUAUUUUAGACAGGAGCAAACCUGGAGUGACGCAAAUUGGAGAAAAAAGCAAGAAUGCAGCAGCAAGAGAGGGAGCCAGGUGGUUGAAAAACUUGACUUGGUUUGUCUUUGUAGGAAUGGGCUUCAACUGGUUCUUCCUCUGUUGGGAGGGGCAUCAGAUAUGUCUGCAAUCUUAUGAAUAUCAAAAUCAAAAUCAAAAAGUUGAGUAUUGAAAAAUGUCCUACAUGCAUGUUUUAAAUUGCAGUUGUGGAAAUUGUAGUUUUAAUGUUGCUGAGACUUCAACAUCCGCAAUUAUAGUUGUGGAGUGCAAUUUAAACUAAGAUUUGUAUGCACAAGUCUGUAAAAGUUUUAGUUUGUAAAUUACUACACAUACCUAUAACCCCACUCAUUGUCAUACCACGAGACAACUUCACAAAGGACUUACUAAGCCCAAUCCCAGCCUUUGCAUCAAAGAUACUCGACCUGUUAAUAAGAAAUACAUUUAAAUUAAAACGCUUACUUGGCAAACAAACAUGAUCCUAACAACAACAGAAAAAAACUGCGACUAAUAUCAUAAAAGAGCGAGAUAAAUAAAGUUUAGUUUUAAGACAAAUAAAAAUCUGCUUUGAGCAUAUGUAAAUGAAAAUUCAAAAUGUGCAUAAUACCAGAUUUUAGCAUGUAUACUAGAUAAAAAGGCACAAGAGUGUCUGUCCUCUUAAAGAUGCUGAUAGUGAAUCUAAAUUUUGAAAUACAGCAACAUUUACUUACCUUGAAUCACCAACAAAGUCAUUAGAGAACAACUCUCAUCUGUGUAUCCAAGAAUUCCCUCAAUGUCCCUCUGAAGCGUGCCUUCAUUUUUUUUCAGUAGCAAGUAAUAGAAAACCAACGAAUGGUUAGUACAAAACAACUCGACAUGAGAGAAUAUAAGCCGGUCAGAAAAGUAAGAGACAUUACGUUAUUGCUGCUUUAACAUCUUCAUAGGAGGCAUUCUUUUGAAGCCGACAGGUAAGUCCACAACAGAAACAUUAGGAGUAGGAACACGAAAGGCCAUUCCAGUGAGUUUUCCAUUUUUAGCCGGAAGAACUUUUCCAACAGCCUGGAAUUUCACAAAGUGCAAAACUAAUUUAAUAAAUGUAAUUGGUAAGCACAGAAACUCUUAUGGCCAUCCAUCUCUUACCUUUGCAGCACCGGGAGAACUUGGAAUUAUAUUUGAGCUGCACCUCUUCCCCAUCAUUGAUUUCCUGCUGCAAAUCCUUCGGAUCCUUUCAUCAACAGUGCAUCCAACCGAGACACACGCAUAUUAGAUAAGUAAAUCCAUAAACAUUGUUUUUCAUUAACACAUAUCCAUGAAAAACAAUGUUUUAAUGGUGCAUGGAUCAUUUAUAAUUAACUAAUCCAUCCUAAAUGUUAUUACAUCAUAGCACCAUGCUACAUCCUAUCCAUCACAUGUUACAUGUUACAUGGUUUUGAUCAAAAGAUAAAAAAAGGGUUUCUCGCUUUGAAUGGCAGCCUUAACCUAAUGAUUCUUCCAUGCUCCACCUAUCCACUUGCCAUGCCAUGUUAAAUUCCCUUUGGGCCUGCCAAUAAACAUCAAGCAUUCAUCGAUACAUCAUAAUAGUCCCACCUCAAGCAACAACCAUAUCAUUCAACAAUUGCAGAGAAGCUCAACAUUCCAUUCAUCAACAGUGCAUCAACAUAACGAGCAAAUUAGAAAACAACAGUGCAAUAUCAAGAAUCAUUUGGCACAUGGAUAAACAAUAACAACAAUAAAUACAUCUGUUCAUAGAAGUAACAAUCAUUAAAAGAGCUAUCAUUCAACAUAAAAAAUACUAAACUAACAAGAACCCAUCCAAAGUUAACUAACAGUUUGUAACAGAAUAUAGCAGGCAACAUCAUAAUGUAAUUAACAUUUAACAACUCAUUUUCAAACUAACAGUAUAUGUAUCUUCGUUCACAUUUCACUUGAAUUUGAAUUUGAAUUUGAAUUUCGUGACUAACAAAACCAUUUCAUUCUAACUGAAAAUGGAAUUUCAUUUGAAUUCACGUAUCAUUUUCGUAACAGAUUCAAAGCCUUUAAAUUCAUCUCACACUUCACAUUUAAGGGGGUUCACGUUUUUCCAGAAAUACUCUCAACCUCUUUAUUUUUGUUUCCCUCUUAACUCACACACAACACUCCCUCUCCAAUUCAUUCACAGCGAAGAUUCAAUCCCUCACAGUUCUCUCCCAAACUCAUAGUUCUCUCUCAAUUCACCUCUAUCUCCUUCAGCAGAGCCUCUCAAUCCUCUCAAAGCAAACACAAGAGUUCAUAGUAGAAGAAGAGAUCAUAGUGAAAGAAGAAUAAGGAUAUUAAUUUAAUCUUGAAGAGAUGUUUUGGUAGAAGUUACCUGAAGUAACAUAGGGAGUUGAAUAUUCGAGCUUAUUGUCAAUCGCUUUGAAGAGACGUCAGAGCUACUCCGGCCAAUAAGCUCUUUUGCAUUUCUCCUUCAGUUCAUCUUCAACUUGUGCCAAGAUGUAGACCUUAGCCUAGGGAAUUGAUCCCUAAAUGAGGUUGGCAUCAACUUCCUUUCCCUUGCGUUUAAUUUCUGGAAGAUUGAUUUAGGGUUCUUGUGACAUUAGGCUCGAUUUGGUUGAUUGGUUAGGAAUUAGAUGAAAUUGAUGGUGAAGUCGGAUAGAGGACUUUGGAACAAGACAAAUGAUAUAGGUUUUAUAUUGUUUGGCUCUCCCGCCUCCGCCAUAGGCAAUUUCCGGUCUUUUUCGGGGAGAGACCGAGGGACCGAUCUUGGGAGCGAGGGAACUCGCCGCUCCGACUUCACCUCCGGUGACGCGGACGUAAACUUCGACGACUUGGGAUGGGUCGAGCUUGGGAGGCAUUGUGGAGAGUUUUAGGGGAAAUAGGGUUUCACACGGCGAAAUGAAGAAGCAGCCGCAACUAAAUGAAGAAAUGAACAGAUUUUUUUAAUUGAAAGACUUUAAACAGCGCUUUCUCAAAAGCGCUGACUAAGGUCUAUAUUUAAAAGCGCUUCUAAAAGCGCUCUCUAAGGGGGUCUUAGACAGCGCUUUCUAAAAGCGCUGUCUAAGACCCCCCCUUAGACAAGCGCUGGACAGCGCUUUCAUUAUUUUUUUAGAACAUUUUCCGUGUUUUAUUUUUAUUUUAACCUUAGACAGCGCUUUCUUUUAAAAGCGCUGUCUAAGAUGCGCUGUUAAAAAACCUUUUUGGCGUAGUGAUUGGAUACAAAUGAAACAAAUUGAUUUGUACAAAUUGCAGGGCAUUGUAGUAAGGGUGACAAAAAUGACCGUGAUUCGUAGAACUGACCCGAUAAUAUAAAUUGAUUUAUAGAAAUUGUAAGGUAUUGUAGUUGAGUUACAAUUUUGAGUCCAUCCACCCAUUUAAUAUGCCUUACCAAAGUGAAAAAAUCCGCGAACCGAAGACAUUAUGGGGUGGAUUGUUGAAAAAAAAUAUUUAAAAAAUAGCCAAUCUAAAAAAACAAAUGGUCCAAAACUUAAUACAUAUUAUGAUUUUUCUUCUUCUUAUAAAUACUUGUUUUUGGUUGUUUGAGGGUUAAUCCCAAUUAUUAAAAAUUCAAAAUAUUUAUUUUAGUUGGUUAAAUAUUAAUAUUUAAAUUAUAUUUUUGAAACUCGUAUUAAUGAUUUUAGACUUUUAAUUAUCAUUUUAAUUAAUUAUAGUAAUUUCAAUUCUUGAUGGUUUGGUUUUAUAUAUUUAUUUAUUUAUGAAUAUAUGCAAUAUUUUUUUAAAAGUAAAAUCAAUUAAAAAGAUAUUUUAUAGAAAAACAUUCUAAAAAAUAAAUGAAAAUUUUAAUUAUAAUUUUUUUAUUAAACUAUUAAAAAAUAAAAACAAAUGAAUAAAUAAAUAGGUGGACAAGUCCGUCAUCCGCUAAUCCGUCAUUUUGACAGGACAAACUAGAUUUUUAAGUCAAAUUAUGGAUUUUAAAUCCGAUUUUAUUUAACGAAUUUUGCAUAUUCUAUCCCUUUUUUGAUGGGUUCAAGGGUGGACGCGACGACAUGUUUUGUCACUCAAUUGUCCAUCAUGUUUAUAUCUCACAUCAAAAAUCAUGUGUUGAUUAAGUUCAAAUAUUUUAAUCAAAACUUAUAUUUUAUGUGAUUUAGACUAAUUCUAAUUUUAUAAUUAAAAAAUAUAAAAUAAUCCAUUAAUCUUUGUUCAGAUUAUAAAAUCUAAACAAGCUUUAUAUAAAGUAAUUUUAUAAUCCUAAAUAGUCAAACAUAAUAGAACACAUCAUAAAGAGUACAUAUACAUAAUAUGAAAAGAUCCUAAAAUAUAAAUAUAUAUAUAUAUAUAUAUAUAUAUAUAUAUAUAUAUAUAUAUAUAUAUAUAUAUAUAUAUAUAUAUAUAUAUAUAUAUAUAUAUAUAUAUAUAUAUAUAUAUAUAUANNNNNNNNNNNNNNNNNNNNNNNNNNNNNNNNNNNNNNNNNNNNNNNNNNNNNNNNNNNNNNNNNNNNNNNNNNNNNNNNNNNNNNNNNNNNNNNNNNNNNNNNNNNNNNNNNNNNNNNNNNNNNNNNNNNNNNNNNNNNNNNNNNNNNNNNNNNNNNNNNNNNNNNNNNNNNNNNNNNNNNNNNNNNNNNNNNNNNNNNNNNNNNNNNNNNNNNNNNNNNNNNNNNNNNNNNNNNNNNNNNNNNNNNNNNNNNNNNNNNNNNNNNNNNNNNNNNNNNNNNNNNNNNNNNNNNNNNNNNNNNNNNNNNNNNNNNNNNNNNNNNNNNNNNNNNNNNNNNNNNNNNNNNNNNNNNNNNNNNNNNNNNNNNNNNNNNNNNNNNNNNNNNNNNNNNNNNNNNNNNNNNNNNNNNNNNNNNNNNNNNNNNNNNNNNNNNNNNNNNNNNNNNNNNNNNNNNNNNNNNNNNNNNNNNNNNNNNNNNNNNNNNNNNNNNNNNNNNNNNNNNNNNNNNNNNNNNNNNNNNNNNNNNNNNNNNNNNNNNNNNNNNNNNNNNNNNNNNNNNNNNNNNNNNNNNNNNNNNNNNNNNNNNNNNNNNNNNNNNNNNNNNNNNNNNNNNNNNNNNNNNNNNNNNNNNNNNNNNNNNNNNNNNNNNNNNNNNNNNNNNNNNNNNNNNNNNNNNNNNNNNNNNNNNNNNNNNNNNNNNNNNNNNNNNNNNNNNNNNNNNNNNNNNNNNNNNNNNNNNNNNNNNNNNNNNNNNNNNNNNNNNNNNNNNNNNNNNNNNNNUAUAUAUAUAUAUAUAUAUAUAUAUAUAUAUAUAUAUAUAUAUAUAUAUAUAUAUAUAUAUAAUUGAAGUCAUCCACCGUAUUGAUAUUGUGUAAAUGUGGUAAGAUUGAGGUUUCUAGAGAGAUAUUUGAUCAGAUGCUGAUAAGAGUUUGGUUUCUUGGAAUGUUAUGAUUAUGGGUAUAUGAAUUAUUUCUCAUUAGGCAUGAAAGGAGUUUUUGAUAAGUUGGAAUUCAGUGGUAGCUGGAUAUAAGCUUAAUGUGUGUUUUUAUGAAGCUAUGAAGUUGUUUGAAGCAUUGUUGAAGAGGGGAUUGUGCCGAGCAAUGUUACUUUGCCGAGUUUCUGCUGUUUUGGGUUUGGCUGUUCUUGGUAAUGGAAGAUGGUUUGAUGGGUUUAUGGUUAAGAAUGAAAGAGGAGAUUGUGUGUUUUCAAGGCAGUAGUCAACAAGAAAUUGGUGCAUUGGACUGCUAUAAUUGUGGGCUUAGGAAUGCAUAGUUUGGCUAAUGAAGCUCUGGAGCUAUUUACAAAAUGUGCAGAAAUGGGAUGAAACCUCAUGCUAUAAUUUUCAAUGAUGAUAAAUGAGAAUAAAAUUGAGCCCACAGUUGAACACUCGGUUGCCAACCUUGAUUUGUCAAACAGAUGAUAGAAAGUUUGAAUUCUGCAUGAAACUGAGUUUCUGUCUAAGCAUAGUGCUAAAAGGAAGGGUGGUAUAGGUUAUGGGAAAUUAACACAGUCCAAUCAACAUGUUAAACUCAUGCACAAGAGUUUGAUAAAAACAUAUUUCUUUGGAUCCAUAUUUCUAACAUAUAAUCAGCCACAUACAGGUUCUUCUGCUAGAGUAAUUUACAUUGAUGAAAAUGGGAGUUAAACACAACAGAAAUGAAAAUGGGAGCAGAAGAUUGUAGCUGAAGAGACAACAUUCUCAUUGUCCGGGGACAAAGUUAGUAGCAAAAGCCCAUGCGUUGUUCGCGACAGGGUCAGCAACAUGGUCAUAAAGGUUCUGAAUAGGGCCCUUGCCAGUAACAAUGGCUUGAACAAAGAAACCAAACAUGGAGAACAUAGCCAGCCGACCAUUCUUGAGUUCCUUGACCUUCAACUCUGCAAAUGAAUCAGGGUCAUCAGCAAGGCCAAGAGGGUCAAAAGCACCACCAGGGUAAAGUGGGUCUAGUCCUUCGCCGAGGGGUCCUCCUCCAACUCUGUAGCCUUCAACAAAUCCCAUGAGCACAACCUGAGUAGCCCAGAUUGCAAGAAUGCUCUGAGCAUGAAUCAGGUUUGGGUUGCCCAAAUAGUCAAGGCCACCCUCCGCAAAGAUCUGGGAACCGGCUUUGAACCACACUGCCUCGCCGAAUUUAACACCAUUCUUUUCAAGGAGUUCGGGGAAGGUACAUCCCAAUGCACCAAGCAUAGCCCAUCUGCUGUGAAUUACUUCAAGCUCACGGUUCCUUGCAAAUGUUUCAGGGUCAGCUGAUAAUCCAGCU
Molecule: long non-coding RNA, 74683 nt
Filed under: Lathyrus oleraceus (garden pea)
Lineage: Eukaryota; Viridiplantae; Streptophyta; Magnoliopsida; Fabales; Fabaceae
Description: Pisum sativum (pea) long non-coding RNA (PSAT_LNC004211)
Source: RNAcentral